AACACCAUGACCUCUCUAAUGAUGCGCGAGUAGUUCACCAUAGAGCUACGGGUCCAUAGCUAGUAGCUAGAUGGCUUCUUCUCUCUCUUGGAUNNNNNNNNNNCGAUGAUGCGUGAGUAGUUCACCAUAGACCUACGGGUCCAUAGCUAGUAGCUAGAUGGCUUCUUCUCUCUCUUGGAUCUUCAAUACAAAGUUCUCCAUGAUCUUCAUGGAGAUCUAUCCGAUGUAAUCCUCUUUGGCGGUGUGUUUGUCGAGAUCCGAUGAAUUAUGGAUUUGUGAUCAGAUUAUCUAUGAAUUAUAUUUGAGUCUUUGCUGAUUUCNNNNNNNNNNNNNNNNNNNNNNNNNNNNNNNNNNNNNNNNNNNNNNNNNNNNNNNNNNNNNNNNNNNNNNNNNNNNNNNNNNNNNNNNNNNNNNNNNNNNAAAUAUCUGCAAGGACUGAAAUUAUCGGUAACAAGUGAUUGUGUUGUGAGAUGAUUCGUAGCAAGCAACGAGUAACCAAAGUAGAAACGGUGCAGCAAAGUGGCCCAAUCCCUUUUGUAGCAAGGGACAAGCCUGGACAAAGUCUUAUAGGAGAAAAAACGCUCCCGAGGACACACGGGAAUUUCUGUCAUGCUAGUUUUCANNNNNNNNNNACGUUCAUUACUUUGAUAGUUUGAUGUGUGGGUGGACCAGCGCUUGGGUACUGCCCUUACUUGGACAAGCAUCCCACUAAUGAUUAACCCCUCUCGCAAGCAUCCGCAACUACAAAAGAAGAAUUAAGUAAAGUUUAACCAUAGCAUUAAACUAGUGGAUCCAAAUCAGCCCCUUACGAAGCANNNNNNNNNNUUUGAUAUGUGGGUGGACCGGCGCUUGGGUACUGCCCUUACUUGGACAAGCAUCCCACUUAUGAUUAACCCCUCUCGCAAGCAUCCGCAACUACAAAAGGAGAAUUAAGACAAAGUCUAACCAUAGCAUUAAACUAGUGGAUCCAAAUCAGCCCCUUACGAAGCANNNNNNNNNNACUACUUCCCAAUUCCUUCCUCUAGGCCCAAAUAAUAGUGAAGUGUUAUGUAGUCGACGUUCACAUAACACCACUAGAGGAAAAACAACAUACAACACAUCAAAAUACCGAACGAAUACCAAAUUCACAUGACUACUAUUAGCAUGACUUAUCCCAUGUCCUCGGGAAUAAAAGUAACUACUCACAAAGCAUAACCAUAUUCUUGACCAGAGAGGUAAUGAGUAGCAUCAAGGAUCUGAACAUAAACUCCUNNNNNNNNNNUCAUGUCCUCGGGAACAAAAGUAACUACUCACAAAGCAUAAUCGUAUUCAUGACCAGAGAGGUAAUGAGUAGCAUCAAGGAUCUGAACAUAAACUCCUCCUCCAAGUAAUCCAACUAGCAUCAACGACAAAGAGUAAUCAAUACUAUUAGCAACCUUACAAGUACCAAUCGGAGUCGCGAGACGGAGAUUGGUUACAAGUGAUGAACUAGGGUUUGGAGAUGAGAUGGCGCCGAUGAAGAUGUUGAUGGUGACGAGUGACGAUGGCGACGAUUUCCCCCUCCGGCAGGAUCGUCUUGCCGGAGCUCUAGAUUGGUUCUGCUCAAGUUCCGCCUCGUGGCGGCGGCGAAUCCACGAAAAAGCUCCUCCCUUAUNNNNNNNNNNCUGAUGAAGAUGUUGAUGGUGACGAGUCCCCUCCGAUGAGAGGAGUGUUGGUGAUCACGAUGGCGACGAUUUCCCCCUCCGGGAGGGAAGUUUCCCCGGCAGGAUCGUCCUGUCAGAGCUCUAGAUUGGUUCUGCUCAUGUUCCGCCUCGUGGCGGCGGCGAAUCCACGAAAAAGCUCCUCCCUUAUUUAUUUUUCUGGACGAAACCCUUCAUAUAGCAGAAGAGGGGGCCAGUGGGCCAACAGGCUGCCCACAAGCCCCCUUGGCGCGGCCUAGGGGGUGGCCGCAUCGUGCAGGCUUGUGGCCACCUCGUGGCGCCCCUCGGGCGCUUCUUCGGCCCAGUAUUUUUUAUAAAUUGUGAAAAAAAUCCUCGUUGAUUUUUACGGCGUUUUGAGUUGCGCAGAAUAGGUAUCUCAACUUUGCUCCUUUUUCAGGCCAGAAUUCCAGCUGCCGGCAUUCUCCCUCUUCAUGUAAACCUUGCAAAAUAAGACAGAAAAGGCAUAAGUAUUGUACCGUGAAGUGAAAUAACAGCCCAAUAAACGAUAAAUAUCAACAUGAAAACAUGAUGCAAAAUGGACGUAUCAACUCCCCCAAACUUAGACCUCGCUUGUCCUCAAGCGAAAGCCUAGCUCAAUAAAUAUGUCCACAUGUUUAGGGAGAGAGGUGUCGACAAAACAAGAUACGAACAUGCAUUCAUCAUGAUCAUGAUCAGAACAGCAAUACCAACAUGUAGUCUCUCAUGCUAAAGUGAUAAUUCCUUCACAAAGUAAAGCAUGGAUCAAGAACCUUACCGAGAAGUAACAACCAAUAGCCUUUCGUCAAUGAAGCAAUUGCAAUUUAUCACAACAUCAGAAAGAGUCAAAUAAGAGCUUGUAAAGAAAAUCCACAUACUCAAUCAUUCUUUCAUUCUCUACAAUUGCUACAACUCACGUGGUACUCAUGAGAUCAAAGUUUCAGCUGGACACGGAGAAAGAUAGGGGCUUACAGUUUUGCCUCCCAACUACUUACCUCAAGGGUAAUGUCAACAAUAAUAAUUCAUGAAUACUUACUUCCAAUUUGACAUAUGAAGAUAGAUCUUUCCCAAGCAUAUGACGUUAGCCAAGAUAAAGGCGAAAUAGGGAAUUGGUGAAGAUCACCAUGACUCUUUCAAGAGCAAAAAGUAAAGGUACAAGAUAGGCCCUUUGCAGAGGGAAGCAGAGGUUGUCAUACACUUUUGAGGUUUGGAUGCGUGUCCUCUUAGUGCGGAGGAACGUCACUUUAUAUUGCCGCCUGUGAUAAAUAACUUUAUUAUGCAGUCUGUUGCUUUUAUGUCUUCCUCAUCACAGGUUCGUAUAAAACUUAUUUUCCACACACUAAUAGAUCAUACAUAUUAGAGAGCAAUUUUUAUUGCUUGCACCGAUGACAACUUACUUGAGGGAUCUUAUUCAAUCCAUAGGUAGGUAUGGUGGACACUCAUGGCAAAACUGAGUUGAUGGUUUAUGGAUUCACAAGUAGUAUCUCUACUUAGUGCGGGAGGUUUGGCUAAUGUGAGGUGGAAGCAAUCGUCACAUGCUAAGGGAUCUCUAAUCGUAUAACAUUGUUCGGAGCCAAGCAAACACAAUUCAUUAUGUUGUCUUCCUUGUCCAACAUCUACUUCUAGGCAUGCAAUAGUUUAGUGAGUGUUCACAAUCAUAGAUGGUGUCAGAGAUGAUAUAUUUAUAUGUGAACAUCUCCUUCUUUAUCACUUCCUAUUAUUUGCAACCAUGACCAAGGUCUACGUUUUCCUACCCUCAACAAGUUUCAAUCCUCAUUCUUUUUAUAUGUGAAGCCANNNNNNNNNNNNNNNNNNNNNNNNNNNNNNNNNNNNNNNNNNNNNNNNNNNNNNNNNNNNNNNNNNNNNNNNNNNNNNNNNNNNNNNNNNNNNNNNNNNNGGGAGGGGGCGAGCCAGGGAUGGGCCGGGCCAGGCUUAGGCGACAAGUAAGGGUUUUCCCAUUUUUUUCUGUUUUUCUUUUUCUGUUUUGCUAACUAAUGUUUUGCUAAUUAUUUCAGCUCCAAAACAAAAAGUAAAAACUAUUUUACACCUCCUGAAAUAUUGUUAUAACAUUCCCAACCAUUUCCAAAGUUUUCAACAUUUUUGGAAAUUUAUAGAUUCUGAUUUCAAAUUUAAAACUUGAAACCAGUAGCCUUUUGCAUUUAUUUAAAAUGCUUAAAGUGUCAAGAAAAUAGUUUUCUCCAAUGCUCAUUUACUUUCAUGAUUUAUCAGAAAGUUUGAACAUUUCUUGAGGCCAUUUGGGUUCAUUGAUUUGAACUAGUUUGAGAUUUUCUUUAAUUGAAAUAGUGGCUAGGGUUUUGAGUUUUUCCUUUGCCACUUUGUUGUUUUUGUUGAAACUUCUUAGAUGCAAAUGCAAAGAAGACAUGAGCACAAGGCUAUCUUUCUUAAGGGUUAGGGAUGUGACAACUAUCAUCAUUACCUCGUAUCUUUUGGCACCAAUAUCAUGAACAUGUGUAACACUAUGAUCGAGAUUCAAUAAACCAUUGAAGGUGAUUAUUCAAGCAAAAUAGAGUAACAAUAAUUCUCUUUAAAUGAAUAAUUGUAUUGCAAUAAACACGAUCCAAUCAUGUUCAUGCUUAACGCAAGCACCAAAUAACAAUUAUCUAGGUUUAACACCAAUCCCGAUGGUAGAGGGAGUGUGCGACGUUUGAUCAUAUCAACCUUGGAAACACUUCCAACACGUAUCGUCACCUCGCCUUUAGCUAGUCUCCGUUUAUGCCGUAGCUUUCAUUUCGUGUUACUAAUCACUUAGCAACCGAACCGGUAUCCAAUACCCUCAUGCUACUAGGAGUACUAGUAAAGUACACAUCAACAUCAUGUAUAUCAAAUAUACUUCUUUCAACUUUUUCCAACCUUCUUAUCUACCAAGUAUCUAGAGUUGCUCUGCCUCAGUGACCGUUCCCCUCAUAACAGAAGCACUUAGUCCCGGGCUUGGGUUUAAUCCGAGGUCUCUUCAUUAGUGCAGCUACUGCUUUGCCGUUUCACGAAGUAUCCCUUCUAGCCCUUGCCUUUAUCGAAACUUAGUGGUUUUACUAACCAUCAACUAUUGAUCCUCCUUCUUGAUUUCUACUUUCGCAGUGUCAAACAUCGCGAAUCGCUCAAGGAUCAUUGUAUCUAUCCUUGAUAUGUUAUAGUUCAUCACGAAGCUCUCACAACUUGGUGACAGUGAUUUUGGAGAACCAUCACUAUCUCAUCUGGAAGAUUAACUCCCACUUGAUUCAAGCGAUUGUCGUACUCAGAUAAUCUGAGCAUACGCUCAACGAUUGAGAUUUUCUCCUUUACUUCGUGGACAAAGAAUCUUGUCGGAGGUCUCAUACCUCUUAACAAGGGCACAAGCAUGAAAUCACAAUUUCAUCUCUUUAGAACAUCUCUUAUGUUCCGUGACGUUUCAAAACGUCUUCGGCGCCUUGCUUCUAAGCCAUUAAGUAUUUUGCACUGAACUAUCGUGUAGUCAUCAGAAACGUGUAUGUCGGAUGUUCACAACAUCUACAGACGACGCUCGAGGUGUAGCACACCGAGUGGUGCAUUAAGGACAUAAGCCUUCUGCGCAGCAACGAGGACAAUCCUCGGUUUUACAGACUCAGACUGCAAAGUUUGCUACUAUCAACUUUCAACUAAAAUUUCUCUAGGAACAUAUAAAAACAGUAGAGCUAUAGCGCAAGCUACAUCGUAAUUCGCAAAGACCAUUAGACUAUGUUCAUGACAAUUAGUUCAAUUAAUCAUAUUACUUGAGAACUCCCACUCAAAAAGUACAUCUCUCUAGUCAUUUGAGUGGUACAUGAUCCAAAUCCACUAUCUCAAGUCCGAUCAUCACGUGAGUCGAGAAUAGUUUCAGUGGUAAGCAUCUCUAUGCUAAUCAUAUCAACUAUACGAUUCAUGCUCGACCUUUCGGUCUCAUGUGUUCCGAGUCCAUGUCUGCACAUGCUAGGCUCGUCAAGCUUAACCCGAGUGUUCCGCGUGUGCAACUGUUUUGCAGCUGUUGUAUGUGAACGUUGAGUCUAUCACACCCGAUCAUCAUGUGGUGUCUCGAAACGUAGAACUGUCGCAACGGUGCACAGUCGGGGAGAACACAAUUUCGUCUUGAAAUUUUAGUGAGAGAUCACCUCAUAAUGCUACCGUCGUUCUAAGCAAGAUAAGGUGCAUAAAGGAUUAACAUCACAUGCAAUUCAUAAGUGACAUGAUAUGGCCAUCAUCAUGUGCUUCUUGAUCUCCAUCACCAAAGCACCGGCACGAUCUUCUUGUCACCGGCGUCACACCAUGAUCUCCAUCAUCAUGAUCUCCAUCAACAUGUCGCCAUCGGGGUUGUCGUGCUACUCAUGCUAUUACUACUAAAGCUACGUCCUAGCAAUAUAGUAAACACAUCUGCAAGCACAAAUGUUAGUUUAAAGACAAUCCUAUGGCUCCUGCCGGUUGCCGUACCAUCGACGUGCAAGUCGAUAUUAUCUAUUACAACAUGAUCAUCUCAUACAUCCAAUAUAUCACAUCACAUCGUUGGCCAUAUCACAUCACAAGCAUACCCUGCAAAAACAAGUUAGACGUCCUCUAAUUUUGUUGUUGCAUGUUUUACGUGGUGACCAUGGGUAUCUAGUAGGAUCGCAUCUUACUUACGCAAACACCACAACGGAUAUAUAUGAAUUGCUAUUUAACCUUAUACAAGGACCUCCUCGGUCAAAUCCGAUUCAACUAAAGUUGGAGAAACUGAGACUUGCCAGUCAUCUUUGAGCAAAGAGGAUUACUCGUAGCGAUGAAACCAGUCUCUCGUAAGCGUACGAGUAAUGUCGGUCCAAGCCGCUUCAAUCCAACAAUACCGCGGAAUCAAGAAAAGACUAAGGAGGGCAGCAAAACGCACAUCACCUCCCAGAUAAACUUUUGUGUUCUACUCGAGCUCCGUAGAAAAGACUACGGAGGUUGGUGGUGAUAUGAUCUCGGCAGGGCUCCGCCCGAGCUCCGCAGAAACGUGAUCUAGAGGAAAAACCGUGGAGGUAUGUGGUCGGGUUGCCGUGGAAAAGUCGUCUCAAAUCAGCCCUAAAACCUCCGUAUAUAUAGGUGGGAGAGGGGGGGCCUUGCCUUGAGGCUCAAGGAGCCUCAAGGUGGUCGGCCGAGCCAAGGGGGGAAGUCCUCCCCUUCCAAACGGAAUCCAACUAGGUUUGGAAGGUGGAGUCCUUCUCUCCUUUCCCACCUCCUCUUUUUUUUCUUUCUCUUUGAUUUCUUAUCCUUUGGCGCAUAGGGCCUUCUUGGGCUGUCCCACCAGCCCACUAAGGGCUGGUGCGCCACCCCCAAGGCCUAUGGGCUUCCCCGGGGUGGGUUGCCCCCCUGAAAAGACCUCGAUGACGCCUAGAGGGGGGUGAAUAGGCUAUUUAAAAACUUCUUCGGAUUUGGCUUGAAACUAAUGCGGAAAUAAACUAAGAGGGUACUUGUCAAGCACAAAUCCUAAAUGCACUAGGCACUGCAACGUGUAUCAACAACACGAUCUACUAAGAUGGACACAAUGCAGUUACGAACAAGCACAAGUAAGCUACACAAACUUACUUGAGCUAUAUCACACGACAAGUAGGUGAACAACACAAGAUACUAGAUCACACUAUAUCACACGAUAUAUCAAGGGGUGCAAGUAUGUACGUGUGAAUAUAGAGGGUAUGCUUGAAUGGUUAAUCUUGUACAAGAAAUGGCCAACACAAUAUAAUGAUCACAAGCAAUAUGCAAUGUAUGUAUGCUCAAAUAACACAAGCAAACCACAAGUAAGGAGUUAGGGUUAAGGAUAACCAAGGUCACUGAGACGAAGAUGUAUCCCGAUGUUCACUUCCUUGGAGGGAAGCUAGUCACCGUUAGAGAGGUGGAUGUUACCACGAAGGCACACCAACGCCACGAAGGCUCACCCUAUUCUCCCUUUGAGAUAACACCACGAAGGUGUUUCUCAACCACUAGUGGUAAGCCUUUGAGGUGGCUUCCAAACCCUCACAAACAUUUCCGAGGGAAAUCACACGGAUUGAUUCCUCUCCGAAGAACUCCUACCGCCUAGGAGUCUCCAACCUCCAAGAGUAACAAGAUCAACGGGGAAUGCUCAAAACUUGCUCAAAUCACAAAUAGCUUGGGUUGAGAGAAGGAGAGGGAGAAGAUCUAUCUUUUGAUUGGAACAACUCUCAAAGGGGCUCACAAAUGCUCUUGGGAUCUAAGAUUUGGAGUGAGCAAAUGUGUGUGAGGUGGAAAUGUGUUCUUAUGAGGAUGAGGCUAUGUUGGGCAACCCUCUCACGAAGUGGGAGGGGGGUAUUUAUAGUGUGGAGAGAAAAAGAGCCGUUGGGGACACUUUAAGUCACACAGGGUCCAGACGUCCGACAGUUGUCGGAAGUCCGGGCGUCCGUGAGGGGCCGGACGUCCGACAGGGGUCGGACGUCCGAGACUUUUAGGCAUGACUGGAACUCUUCUCAAUUCAUCAGCGGUCGGACGUCCGAAGGGGGUCGGUCGUCCGAGGCCUGUAGAUGUGCCUGAACAUAUUUGAAUUCAUCAGCAUACGGACGUCCGGGGUGGCCCGGAAGUCCGUGUUAUACAACUCAACUUCUACUGGUGGUAGGUUCCGGAUUUCCGACGGGUGUCGGACGUCCGGCGCUCGGACGUCCGGAGGGAGCCAGAAAUCCGAGUUAUAGAGGACAUGUUCUUCUGGUGCAAGGCUUCGGAUUUCCGAAGCCUGUCGGUCGUCCGAGCCUUGACCGGCCCUCGGACGUCCGGAGGGAGCCGGAAGUCCGAGUUAUAUGGCUCAAGUUUCUCUAGUGCAUAGUUCCGGAAUUCCGAAGCUGGUCGGCUAUCCGGGCCUCGGACGUCCGGAGAGAACCGGAAGUCCGAGUUAUUUGGCUCUGAUUUCUCUGGUAUAGGAUUCCGGAUUUCCGAAGCUGUCGGUCGUCCGGCCCUCGGACGUCCGGAGGAGGCCGGAUGUCCGAGGCACUGGUUCUGUUUUCAGAUAACAGCAGAGCAGUGGAGAUGAGGUCUGAACAGAAAGUGAAGAUGUAGUUUGAGCAAGUUCAUCGCAAAACCUGUGAUUCCCUCUUAAUAGUGCGGGAUCCCUAAGGACUCAAGAAUCAUAAAAGAGUACUGAUGAUCCAUACUUGAGUGUAUACUUUUAUUCGCUGAUCAUCACUCCGCAGAACUAACGUCAAAGGAACUGAUACCUUUGAGUUAGCCCUUUCACCUGAGCUAGAUGUUGUUGUUCCUUCUUGGCUCAAGUUGAAAGCAAGACAUGAUGAAGUCUUCAAGUAGCUUUCCCAUACACAAUGCGGAAAGCCUAGCUUAUGUAUUCAUCUUCAUUUGUCCACCAUGUGAACAUCCACAAGAAUCAAGCAUGAAGUUCUCAAGAAUGCUUAUCUUGAUCUUGUCCUGUCCACCAUGUGAACAUCCACAAGAAUCAAGCAUGUAGUGCUCGGGAAUGCUUAUCUUGAUUUUGUCCUUGUUAGCACAUGAGGUUGUCCUUGUCAACACAUGAUCAUUGACAAUGGUUUCAAUGAUAUAUUCGUGAUGAUCCGCUUGAACUUGCACACCACAAUCUUGAUGACGAUCACCACUUGACGUCAUCCUUCAUGGGUUGUAUGAGAUCUUCCUUUUGACGCAAGCCCAAUGGAAACACACCUAACCCCUACAUAGGAGUCUCACAAAGACCAUGGGUUAGUACACAAACACGUAAUGGACAAUGCUUACCAUACCAUGGGAUCACUUGAUCCCUCUCGGUACAUCUUAUACGCUUUGUGUGUUGAUCAUCUUGAUUUACUCUUUGUCUGAGAUCUUGAUCAACCCAGUGUUUCUAUGACCAUUCUUUGGAUAAUAACUUGAGUAACAUCUUGGUCAACAAAUAAACUCCUUCAACCCAAAAGAUGGACUUCAAGAAGUGCCUAUGGACAAGUCCUAUAAAUAUAACUUAAAGCAACCGUUAGUCCAUAGGAGUUGUCAUCAUUUACCAAAACCACAUAUGGAGAAUAUGCUCUAACACCCCCCCCCCCGCACACACCCCCCGGUGAACACCCGGAACCCAUUCGUCAUUCCCAGUACAUUCCCGGUAACUCCGAAAACCUUACGGUAAUCAAAUGAGGUCAUCCUAUAUAUCAAUCUUCGUUUCCGGACCAUUCCGGAAACCCUUGUGACGUCCAUGAUCUCAUUCGGGACUCCGAACAACAUUCGGAGAUACCUGUACAGCAUCUUUAUAGUCACCCAGUUACGUUGCGACGUUUGAUACACACAAAGCAUUCCUCCGGUGUCAGUGAGUUAUAUGACUCAUGGUCAUAGGAACAAAUACUUGACACGCAGAAAACAGUAGCCACAAAAUGACACGAUCAACAUGCUACGUCUAUUAGUUUGGGUCUAGUCCAUCACGUGAUUCUUCUAAUGACGUGAUCCAGUUAUCAAGCAACAACACCUUGUAUAUAAUCAGAAGACCCUGACUAUCUUUGAUCAACUGGCUAGCCAACUAGAGGCUUGCUAGGGACAAUGUUUUGUCUAAGUAUCCACACAUGUAUAUAAGUCUUCAUUCAAUACAAUUAUAGCAUGGAUAAUAAACGAUUAUCAUGAACAAAGAAAUAUAAUAAUAACUAAUUUAUUAUUGCCUCUAGGGCAUAUUUCCAACAGUUCCAAGUAGUUUUAGCGCGUAAUACAGUCUCUAGGCACUAGUAGGAGUAGUUGCUACAAGUUGGGUUAAUCUUCAUUCACUUUUCUUUCGAAGUCUCUAAAAAUUUCAGAAUUUUUUAGAGCUAGAAAAGGGAAAAGAUGAGGAGGUUCUUGAGAGGCUCUUCAAGCCGUAACCACAAGGAGGAUGAGGAGAACCACCCCAAGUACGUAGUCCCUCGAGUCACAGAAGUUCGAGCGUGCGAGUGGCCAAGUGAUGAAUUUUUGCGCGCUGGCGGACUUUAUGAAGACUUUUAUUACUUGGUGGAGAACACAGGUCUUACUGCGUUCGUUGAAGAUAAGUGCCCACAAUAUCUCCUCCUCACCAAUAUUUUUGUUCAAAGCUACAACUUUUAUCCGAGGAAGAAUCCUCCCAUGGUAGAGUUCAUGAUAUACGAUGUCCCCCAGUGCAUGACGCUGCAGGAUUUUUGCAAUGUAUGCAAAUUACCUUAUGUUGGGGAUAUCCGUGACCCUCAUCCACGGGACUUGGAGGAUUUCAUUGGUUCUAUUGUUGUUGAAGAGGAGAGAGGAGUGUCUCGCACUAGAAUUGCUAGCAUACAUUUUCUUGUGCUUCGGUACUUCUCACUAUUUGUGGGAAAAUGUUUGAUUGGCCGUGGGGAGUCUGGAUCACAUAGUUCUCCAGACCUUGCGUUUCUGCACGAAGGCCUUUAUAGCGAUAAGACUUAUAGCUUGGGCGCUAUAGUCGCUCAACGGUUGAACCUGGACCAUUCCAAGGGUGUUGUCUAUGGAGGUAUCUAUGCUACCCGUCUUGCCAGACAUAUUGAGAUACCCAUUAUGACUUUGGGUAUCGCCAGGACCCACCAUGGCAGUAGACGAAGCUAGGCCAAAAGCCUAAGCUUGGGAGAGUACGUGUUCUCGCCGACUUUACAUUCAUGCUUAUGCUUUUGCUUUGUUAGCCGGUGUUUACACUUUGCCACUGUAUUAUCCAUGCUAGUUUCUUUUUGUUUUCUUGUUUUCUUGUUUUGUUUCCUUUUGAGAAAACCCAAAAAGAUUUUUCUUUCUUCUUUUGCUUGUUGGGAGCUUUCCCGUGUAAAUAGUUUUCUUUUUCUUUGUGUCAAGGUAGAAGAUAUUGGUUACAAUGCUUAGUGGUUCUUACAUGCUUACUUGUUUAGCUUUCAAAGAGCCAUAUUAUUUUGUCUUAUCCUUUGUGUUUGCCUGCAGAUUCAGCUUAGUCCAAUGCGCUUAUUAUCGUUUUCAUCGUUCGAUCAUGCAAAUGAAAGGCAACAAUGAUGAUAUAUGAUGAAGUGACUGAGACUGAAAAGCUGGUAUGAACUCUAUGUAUUUUGUUUUUAUAAUAUGACUAGCUUGUCGACCCAGAUUUAGCUUUAUUGUGAGAGAACCAUGUUUGCAAUGACAACUUAGAGAUCAUAGUUUCUGAUGCCAUGCUUAUUUAGUUGAGAGCUUAUAAUGGUUUGUCUUGAUUGCCAAUAUAGAUUUUGAGAUGACUAUGAUGUAGUAUGAUAGGAUGGUAUUCUCCUUUGAAUGUUUCAAGUGUCUUGACUUGGCGCAUGUUCAUGCAUGUAGUUGAAACAAAAUCAACAUAGCCUCUAUGAUGUUCAUGUUCACGGUGAUUUAUAUCCUGUUCAUGCUUGCAUUCGAUGUUAGUCAAACUCAUUGCAUCUUGAUGAGUGUUGUCGCUCUAUAGUUGGUCGCUUCCCAGUCUUUUGCUAGCCUUCACUAGUACUAAGCGGGAUUACUGCUUGUGCAUCCACUUCCAUAAAUCCAAAAGUUUUUCCAUGAGAGUCCACCAUACCUACCUAUUUGCGGUAUCUACCUGCCGUUCCAAGUAAAUUUGCAUGUGCCAUUCUCUAAACUUUCAAGAAAUAAAUCUAUUUUGCAUGCCCGAACCGCUCAUGUGGUGACAGAGGGCUAUUGGUAUCUUCCAUGCUAGGAGUGUUAUCCUCGACAUGUGUUUAUUCACAGUCAUUCACGAGAAAGGGGCUGGUAUUUGGGAUGCCCAGUUCCAUGCUUAAAUCGAAAACAUAACUAUAAAACAAGACUCCCCCCGGAUUGAUGUUAGUAUGAACGGUACCCGAGGAUUCGGCUAGCCGUGGAGUGUGAUUGAUUGGUUGUGGGGGGUUAAAACUUUACUUUUCUGUUUGGGAACCGCCUAUAGCAUGAGUAGCAUGGAAGAUAUUGAGAACUCUUGGUCAUUGCGUUGACAAUGAAAGCAUGCCACCCAAAAUUAUUAUCUCUGUUUUCAAAGCUUGAGCUCUGGCACCUCUGCAAAUCAACGCUUCCCUCUACGAAGGGCCUGUCUAUUUGUUUUCCUGUCGAGUCAUCCUCCUCUUAUAUAAGCAUCAAUUAGAGAGCACCUCUGUCAUUUUUAUGCUUUGCUUUUGAUUGAUAUUGAGUAUGACUAUGACUGGAUCUUCGUUGCUAUGAAUUACAAUGUUUAGUCAGCCCUUGAUCUUUGAAAGUGCUCUGCAUUUCUGUUUUGCGGUCUCAGAAAGAGCUAGCGAGAUACCACCUAUUCAUAUUGCUCCAUGUUUGUUUUGAUUGAAGUGUUGGUAUUUGAAACUCAUUAUUACUUGCUCGUUAGCUGAUUAUGCCAUUGAUAUUAGUUUACCGUGAGACCUUUGUGUCAUUUCCUUAUGUGGUUAACUUGUGAUCUUGCUGAAAUUCUGGUUAUGAGUUAGACAUAGUUGCAACAACAAGAUCAAACAGAGUUUGUCAAAGUUUUUCUUUCUCUCUCAGUUUGUCAACUGAGUUGCUUGAGGACAAGCAAGGUUUUAAGCUUGGGGAAUUUGAUAUGUCUCCAACGUAUCUACUUUUCCAAACUCUUUUGCCCUUGUUUUGGACUAUAAUUUGCAUGAUUUGAAUGGAACUAACCUGGAUUGACGCUGUUUUCAGCUGAAUUGCCUUGGUGUUAUUUUUGUGCAGAAAUCAAAGUUCUCCAAACGUCCUGAAAAUUUACAGGGAGCAGUUUUGGAAAGUAUCAAAAAUAUCUGCGCCAAGUUCCACCUCAGGGGGUGGGCCAGUGGGCCACAAGCCCCUGCUCCGCCACCACCCCCCUGGUGGCGGUGGCAGGCUUGUGAGGCCCACAGGCACCGGCCGCCUCCAACUCCAGCUCUAUAAGUUGUCUUUCGUCCCAGAAAAAUAAAAAGAGAAGUUUUCGUCGUGUCUUCAAUACGGAGGCGCCUCCACCUCCUGUUCUUCAUCUGGAGGGCAGAUCUGGAGUCCGUCUUGGGCUCCGGAGAGGGGAAAUCGUCGCCAUCGUCAUCAUCAACCUUCUUCCCUCUCCGAUUCCAUGAAGCUCUUCGUCGUUCGUGAGUAAUCUAUUCGUAGGCUCGCUGGGCGGUGAUGAGUAGGAUGAGAUCUAUCAUGUAAUCGAGUUAGUUUUCAUGGGGAUUGAUCCCUAGUAUCCACUAUGUUCUCAAAUUUGAUGUUGCUACUACUUUGCCAUGCUUAAUGCUUCUCACUAGGGCCCGAGUGCCAUGAUUUUGGAUCUGAAAUUAUUAUGUUGUCACCAAUAUAUGUGUGUUUAGAUCCGAUCUUGCAAGUUGUAGUUACCUACUAUGUGUUAUGAUCCGGCAACCCCGGAGUGACUAUAACCGGAACCACUCCCGGUGAUGAUCAUAGUUUGAGGAUUUCAUGUGUUCACCAGGUGCUAAUGCGUUGGUCCGGUUCUUUAUUAAAAGGAGAACCUUAAUAUCCCGUAGUUUCCUUUUGGACCCCGCUACCACGGGAGGGAUGGACAAUAGAUGUCAUGCAAGUUCUUUUCCCUAAGCACGUAUGACGACACACAGAAUGCAUGCCUACAUCACAUUCACGAAUGCGAGCUAUCCACAUAUCUCUCCGUGUUAUAGUUGUUGCAUGAUGAAUAUCAUCCAAACAAAUCACUGACCCAUUGCCUACGAGUUUGUCCUACUGUUCCUACUGCUGUUACUUGUCUUGCUCUGCUGCUACUACUGUUGCUACUGUUGUUACUUGUCUUGCUCUACUGCUGCUGCUACUACUGUUGCUACUGCUGUUACUUGUUUUGCUCUGCUGCUACUGUUGCUACUACUGUUGCUACUUGCUACUGCUGUCACUACUACUGUUCCUUGCCACUGCUAUUGCUCGUUACACUGCUACUACCUGCUACACUGUUGAUUCACCGACCAUUGAAGGGAACUGACAACUUCCGUCGACGCGGCAACGAAGGCGCCAUUGAUACAAUUGUUAGGAAUAGUCUGUUGUCAACAGAUCGUUUCUGACACCGUUGUUAUCAUAUUACUUUGCUGUUACUAUUGUGCUUGCAGAUACUAAUCUUUCAGGUGUGGUUGAAUCUAACAAAUUCAGCUGCUAAUACUUGAGAUUAUACUCUCACCUCCUGACCGGCGAUCUACAAAUUGGGUCGAAUUCUCUACCCUCGAAAACUACUGCGAACCCACGCGCUGGUGGGCCAUCAACAACAUUCUUCGAGUUUCAUUGCCGGGGAGUGCUAGCAGCAUUCUUCUGGUGCCGUUGCAGGAGAAGGUUCGUUGUCAUAAGCAUUCGUCUAGCUAACGCUAGAGAUUGCAGGAUCAGCCCUUUUCUGGAGCCAUGGCCAGGGAAGCACAGCUGACGUCAAUUUUCAGGACGAUCGGAGAACUUUUAUUUUCGGGGUACUUUUCUACCAAACGCUAAAACAGAAAACAGGGAAAACUAAACUAAACCUAUCAUUUUUCUUCUAAGCAACCGAAGAUGAAAGCUUGGAACAAAGGUUUGUGAUUCCUCGAUUCAUCCAUGGCAUGGUCAUCGAAAGAAAAUUCAUCAAUGAGGUUGAUCAAGUCUCCUCGACAAACCUUUUCCAAUCGCAAAAGAGAGCGGAGAAUUUUGGAAUAGUCACUGGGUCACCUCAAUGGGGAUAUGUAUCUCUCCAACAAGCAAAUCAUACUUCAUCUUGACACGAGGAAUAGGGCAUUCAAAGCUCCCAAUAAGAAUCGAUGAAGUUUUUUCGAUAGCAUUGAUGCAAUGUACUUGAUAUUGUUUCUUAGGAAAGUGCACCGUAUGCUCAUUACCGUUGACAUGGAAAGUGACAUUGCCUUUGUUGCAAUAUAUAACAUCCCCUGCAGUGUUUAAAAAGGGUCUUCCAAGGAUGACCGCCAUGGCAUCGUCCUCAGGAAUAUCCAAGAUAACAAAGUAUGUUAAGAUGGUGACAUUAGCAACCACAACAGGCACAUCCUCGCAAAUGCCGAUAGGGAAAGCAGUUGAUUUGUCGUCCAUUUGUAGAGAGAUUUCAGUGGGUGUCAACUUAUCCAGUUCAAGUCUACGAUAAAGAGAGAGAGGCAUAACACUAACACCGGCUCCAAGAUCGCAUAACGUAGUUACCUUUAAUUGAGCAAGGUAUAGUGGGCACACCGAUAUCACCUAGUUUCUUAGGAGUUCCACCCUUGAAGGUAUAAUUAGCGAGCAUGGUGGUAAUCUCAACCUCAGGUAUCCUCCUCUUAUUAGUCACAAUAUCUUUCAUGUACUUAGCAUAUGGAAACAUUUUAAGCAUAUCUGUCAAACGCAUUUGUAGAAAGACAGGUCUAAUCAUUUCAACGAAUCGCUCAAAAUCCUCAUCAUCCUUUUUCUUGGAUGGUUUGGGAGGAAAGGGCAUGGGUUUCUGAACCCAUGGCUCCCUUUCUUUACCAUGCUUCCUAGCAACGAAGUCAUUCUUAUCGUAUCUCUUAGUCUUAGGCUGUGGGUUAUCAAGAUCAACAGGUUCAAUCUCCACAUCCUUAUCAUUGCUAGGUUGAGCAUCUUCAUGAACAUCACUAUUGAUAUUAUCAUUAGGCUCAUGUUCAUCACCAGAUUGUGUUUCAGCAUCAGAAGCAGAGACAUCGUUUGGACUCUAAGGUGUAGCAGCAACAGGGUUGCUAUCGUGCAGGUUCCUAUCAUCUUUCUUCUUCUUUCUAGGAUGACUAGGUGCAUCAGUGCUAGCUCUUUGAGAAUCUUGUUCAAUUCUCUUCGGAUGACCCUCAGGAUACAAAGGUUCCUGGGUCAUUCAACCGCCUCUAGUAAUGACUCUAACGGAAUUGUCAUUCAACUCAUUGAGCAAGUCAUUCUGAGCUUUAAGUACUUGUUCUACCUGAGUAGUAACCAUAGAGGCAUGUUUACUCAAAAGCUUAAGAUCAUUGACAUUUCUAUCCACACAAGCACUUAAAUGACUAAGCAUACGAGCAUUCUGUCCCAAUUGUCUGCUAACAUAAUCAUUGAAACUCUGUUGUUUGGCAACAAAGUUAUCAAAUUCAUCCAGGCAUAGGCUAGCAGGUUUAUCAAAAGGAAUAUCACUCUCAUCAAACCUACACAGAGAAUUUACUUCUACUACGUGUAUCGGGUUAUUGAGACCAUGGAUCUCUUCGUUAGGUGGUAGAUUUUUGACAUCUUCAGAUUUAAUGCCAUUCUCUCGCAUAGAUUUCUUGGCUUCUUGCAUAUCUUCAGGACUGAGGAAUAGAAUACCUAUUUUAUUCGUGGUUGGCUUAGGAGGUGGUUCGGGAAUAGUCCAAGCAUUCUCAUUGCACAAGAUAUUAAUCAAUAGAGUCUCAGCUUGUUCUACAGUUCUUUCCCUAAAAACACAACCGGCACAACUAUCUAGGUGGUCUUUGGAAGCAUCAGCAAGUCCAUUAUAGAAGAUAUCAAGUAUUUCAUUCUUCUCAAGAGGGUGAGCAGGCAAAGCAUUCAGUAGCUGGAUAAGCCUCCCCCAAGCUUGUGGGAGACUCUCUUCCUCUGCUUGAGCAAAGUUGUAUAUUUCCUGCAAGGCAGCUUGCUUCUUAUGGGCAGGGAAGUAUUUUUCAAAGAAGUAGUAGACCAUAUCCUGGGGGCUACGCACACAACCAGGAGCAAGAGAAGUGAACCAAGUCUUAGCAUCAUCCUUCAGCGAGAAAGGAAACAGCUUAAGGAUAUAGUAGUGGCGGAUCUUUUCCUCACUAGUGAAUAGGGUGGCUAUAUCGUGCAGUUUGGUAAGAUGGGCCACAACCUUUUGAGACUCAUAACCGUGAAAAGGAUCAAAUUCGACCAGAGUGAUUAACUCAGGGUCGACAGAGAAUUCAUAAUCCUUAUCGGUCACAAAGAUAGGCGAAGUAGCAAACUUCGGGUCGUAUUUCAUCCUAGCGUUCAUAGAUUUUUCUUUCCACUUGCGCAGUAAUUUCUCAACAUCAUAGCUAUCCUUACACGCAAGAAAGUCCUCAGCUAUCUCUCCCUCCAUAACAUAGCGCUCAGGCAUAACAUGCAAUUCAAGCAUAAUAGCAGGUUCUACUUCAAUAGUAUCAGCAGUUUCAGAAGUGUCAUCACAUCUAGCAGCAAUUCUAGCAAUUUGUGCAUCAAGGAAUGCACCUAGUGGCAAAGCAGUAUCAGGCAUAGCAUCAUCAGGCAUAGUAUCAAGCAUAGCAUCAUCAGGCAUAGUAUCAAGCAUAGCAUCAUUAGGCAUAGUAUCAAGCAUAGCAUCAUCAGGCAUAGUAUCAAGCAUGGCAUCAUCAGACUUAGUAUCAAGCAUAGCAUCAUAAGCAUCAUGGGCAGCAUAAGUAGCAUCAUCAAGCAUAGGCGACAUAUCAAGAUUUCUAGCAGGAGGUGCUAUCGCAAACUUACUCAUAACUGAAGGUGAAUCAAGUGCAGAGCUAGAUGGCAGUUCCUUACCUCUCCUCGUAGUGGAAGGCAAGAUUUUAGUUCUUGGAUCUUUCGGAUUCCUCAUAGUGAUCAGCAGACGUCAAUCACAAGUGACUGAGAGAAUAUAGUUGUGCCUCCCUGGCAACGGCGCCAGAAAAUAGUCUUGAUAACCCACAAGUGUAGGGGGUCGCAACAGUUUUCGAGGGUAGAGUAUUCAACCCAAAUUUAUUGAUUCGACACAAGGGGAAGCGAAAGAAUAUUCUCAAGUUUUAGGAGCUGAGUUUGUCAGUUUCAACCACACCUGAAAGAUUAGUGUCUGCAAGCAAAGUAUCAGUAGCAAAGUGGUAUGAUAGCAACGGUGUCAGAAAUAGUUCUUUUGACGGCAGACUAUUCCUAACUUGUUGUAUCAAUGGCGCCAGUAAAUAGCACGUGGACGGGGGACUAUUCUUCCCCGACAACGGCUUCAGAAAAGUCUUGCAACAAGUAACAGCAAAGUAACAACAGUAGUGACAGCAGUAGCAAGGAACAGCAGUAGUGACAGAAGUAGCAGCAGUAGUAGUAACAGCAGAGUAACAGCAGUAGCGACAGUAGUAGAAGCCAAGUAACGUAGCAAGGACCAGUAGUAAAAGACUCGUAGGCAGUGGAUCGGUGAUGGAUGAGUAUACCGGAUGUGAUUCAUCAUGUAACAGCUAUAACACGGAGAGAUAAGUAACUAGCUCCCGCUCGUCAAUCUAAUGUAGGCAUGUAUUCCAUAUGUAGUCAUACGUGCUUAGGGAAAAGAACUUGCAUGACAUCUAUUGUCCAUCCCUCCCGUGGCAGUGGAAUAUAUAGAGCUGAGUUUGGGGGCGGUGGAGCCACGUGGGCCCCACAAACCCUCACGGCGCGGCCAGGGGGGUGGCCGCGGCCUAGGGGCUUGUGGCCCACUGGCACACCUCCUCUGGUGGAUCUUUGUGCAGGUAUUUUUCUUUAAUUCCAGAAAAAAUCUCCAUAAAUUUUCAGAUCAUUCCGAGAACUUAUAUUUCUACACAAAAACAACACCAUGGCAAUUCUGCUGAAAACAGCGUUAGUCUGGGUUAGUUCCAUUCAAAUCAUGCAAAUUAGAGUCCAAAACAAGGGCAAAAGAGUUUGGAAAAGUAGAUACGACGGAGACGUAUCACUCACGUGUGAGGUGGUGGACUUCCAAAGUGCCUACCACGCCAUACUAGGUCGUCCAACAUAUGUACAUUUCAUGGCCCGACCAUGUUACGUUUACUUGAAGAUGAAGAUGCCAGGGCCGAAGGGAGUCAUCAGCAUCACUGGUGAUCGGCAGAGAGCAGAACAAUGCUUGCAGCACGGCUCCAAGAUCGCUGACCAGCAGAUGGCAAUGGCAGAGCUCGAUGAGUACCGGUAGACAGCAGAUCCCGACGAACUGAUGCGCUCUAAGAACCCAGCUUUUGAGUCUGCAUUUCAGUCGACACGCAAAAUCAAGAAGGUCAACAUCCACCCGGCGGAUCCUACGGCUGCACCAACGAACAUCUCAACAACUCUUGACCCUAAAUAGGAAGACGAGCUCAUCCAGUUUCUCCGUGAGAACUGGGACAUCUUCGCAUGGAAGCCCGCUGACAUGCCUGGUGUGCCCAAGGAACUAGCUGAGCACCGACUGAGAGUCGGCCCCAAAGCUCGACCUGUCAAAGAACAUAUGCGUCGGUCCGCCACGCAGAAAAGGAAAGCAAUCGGCAAGGAAGUAGCUAAGCUCUUGGAGGCCAAGUUCAUUCGCGAGGUUUACCACUCCGAGUGGCUCGCGGAUGUUGUCAUGGUGCCCAAGAAGGACAAAUCACUCUGAAUGUGCAUCGACUUCAAGCAUAUCAAUCGGGUCUGCCCGAAAGACCACUUCCCACUCCCCCGCAUAGAUCAGAUCGUCGACUCGACUGCAGGAUGUGAGCGAUUGUCUUUUUUAGAUGCUUACUCUGGGUACAACCAGAUCCGUCUGUAUGGCCCGGAUGAAAUAAAAACAGCCUUCAUCACCCCGUUUGGGUGCUUGUGCUACAUCACUAUGCCAUUCGGUCUCAAAAAUGCAGGAGCCACUUAUAUGCGCAUGAUUCAGAAAUACCUCCUCGGCCAGAUCAGUCGGGACGUGGAAGCAUACAUGGACGAUAUCGUAGUCAAGUCAGGCAAAGGUUUUGACCUGCUGACUGACUUGGCUGAAACGUUUGCCAACCUUCGAAGGUACGACAUCAAGCUCAACCCAGCCAAGUGCACAUUCGGAGUCCCCAGUCGCAAGUUACUCGGUUUUCUUGUUUCCGAACGAGGAAUCGAUGUUAACCCUGAAAAGAUCGGGGCCAUCGUCCGAAUGAAAAGCCCUGUGCGAGUGCACGAUGUCCAGAAGCUUACGGGAUGUUUGGCAGCAUUAAGCAGAUUCAUAUCUCGACUCGGAGAGAAAGCCUUACGAUUAUACUGACUCAUGAAGAAGCUAGAUACCUUUGAGUGGACUGCUACUGCGACAACAGACCUUCCCUGGUACGGCACCAGGAAUCUUGCUGCUACGGCUACGCCUUUAGGGACUUCCUUGGCAAAUACGCAAAGGAUUUACCCGCGGCCUUGCAGCCUUGCGUUGGUGUUCCCUUGAAGAAGAAAGGGUGAUGUAGCACAGCGGCGGUAAGUAUUUCCCUCAGUUUUGAGAACCAAGGUUUCGAACCAAUGGAAGAUCCCGUCAAGUCACAAGUACCUGCACAAACACAAAGAUCUUGCACCCAAUGCUAUGAAGGGGUUGUCAAUCCGUUAUAGAUUGUUUGCAAAGUGAGAACUGAAAGCAAAGAGUAAACAGAGCAAAGUAAAAGUGAAAGUGGAAACGAUAGUUGUGAAUAGACCCGGGGGCCGUAGUGUUCACUAGUGGCUUCUCUCAUGAAAGCAAGUAGAAGGUGGGUGAACGAAUUACUGUCGAGCAAUUGAUAGAACUGCGCAAAGUCGUGACGUCAUCUAUGGCAAUGAUUAUAUCUAUAGGUAUCACGUCCAAAACAAGUAGACCCAUACUUUCUGCAUCUACUACUAUUACUCCACACGUCGAUCGCUAUCUAGCUUGCAUCGAGUGUAUUAAGUUCAUGAGAACAGAGUAACGCCUUAAGCAAGAUGACAUGAUGUAGAUGGACAAUCUCAUAUCUACGAUAAAAGCCCAUCUGGUUACCCUUGAUGGCAACAACAUGAUGCGUGCCUUGCUGCCCCUUCUGUCACUGGGAAAGGUCACCACACAGUAUGAACCCAAAACCAAGCACUUCUCCCAUUGCAAGAAUCAUAGAUCUAGUUGGCCAAACAAAACCCAAGACUCGGAGAGACUUACAAGGAUAUCAAAUCAUGCAUAUAAGAAAUCAGCAAAGACUCAAAUAUAAUUCAUAGAUAAUCUGAUCACAAAUCCAUAAUUCAUCGGAUCUCGACAAACACACCGCCAAAGAGGAUUACAUCGGAUAGAUCUCCAUGAAGAUCAUGGAGAACUUUGUAUUGAAGAUCCAAGAGAGAGAAGAAGCCAUCUAGCUACUAACUACGGACCUGUAGGUCUAAAGUGGACUACUCACGAGUCGUUGGAGAGGCGAUGAUGUUGAUGUAGAAGCCCUGCAACUCCAAAGUCCCCUCCGGCAGGGCACCGGGAAGGGUCUCCAGAUGAGAUCUCGCGGAAACGGAAGGUUGCGGCGGCGGAAAAGUGUUUUCGUGGAUGCCCUGAUUUUUUCUGGAUUUUAGGGAAUAUAUAGGCGAAAGAGCUAGGGUAGGGGGGCUCAAGGGAGGCCACAAGCCUGGUAGCCGUCGCCCCCCUGGUGGCGGCUACAGGGCUUGUGGGCCCCCUGUGGCUCUCCUGCCUUGGCCCUCAAGUCCCGUGAUCUUCUUCCGUUCUGGAAAAAUUUAUCUCGGGGGUUUUAUUCCGUUUGGACUCCGUUCCAAAAUCAGAUCUGAAAAGAGUCAAAAACACAGAAAAAACAGGAACUGGCACUUGGCACUGAAUUAAUAAGUUGGUCCCAAAAAAGAUAUAAAAGGUACAUAAAACAUCCAAAGUUGACAAGAUAACAACAUGAAACCAUUAAAAAUUAUAGAUACGUUUGAGACGUAUCAUGGACUCCCAAAGAAGAAGCUGCAUUCGUCGAGUUAAAGAAUCUGCUAUCCACCCAGCCAGUUAUUGCUGCUCCGCACAACAAAGAGCCACUCCUCUUAUACAUCGCGCCUACAAAUCAAGUUGUCAGAACAGUCCUGACAAUCGAGCGAGGGGAGGAAGGCAAGCCUUACAAGAUACAUUGCCAGUAUAUUAUGUUUUCGAGGUAUUGACUCCUUCCCAGCAGACAUAUCCCCAUUAUCACAAGCUACUUUAUGGGAUUUACAUGACUGCAAAGAAGGUACCUCAUUAUUUUCAAGAUCACUCGGUGUCUGUGGUCAGCGAUGCCCCAUUGUCAGAAAUCCUUCACAAUCUGGAUGCAUCGGGCCGAGUGGUGAAAUGGGCACUGGAGUUAUUAUAUUGUGGCAUAAAGUUCGAAGCCAAGAAAGCCAUUAAAUCUCAAGCUCUGGCAGAUUUCAUGGCUGAACGGUGGAGCAACAACAACCAGCCCCUACUCACUCGGCACACUGGACUAUGUUCUUUGACGACUCAAAGAUGUUGAGUGGUUCUGGUGCAUGUAGUUCUUAUAUCCCCGAAGGGUGACAAGCUGAGUUAUGUAUUGCAGAUUCACUUUGAUUCCUCUAACAAUGAGGCAGAGUAUGAAGCCCUCCUUUACGGGUUGUGUAUGGGCAUCUCACUCGGCGUCCGACGUUUGAUGGUAUACGGAGACUCGGAUCUAGUGGUUAAUCAAGUAAUGAAAGAGUGGGAUGUGAGAAACCCUGCCAUGACUAGAUACUGCAACGCAGUAAGAAAACUUGAGAAAAGGUUUGAAGGUUUGGAACUUCAUCACGCUCCUCGGUUGAAGAAUCAAGCUAUUGACGAAUUAGCAAAAAUCGGAUCCACUCGGAAAAUUGUGCCGAGUGAUGUUUGUUUGGAGCACAUGCACACCCCUUCGGUCCAGGAAGAUCCAUUCAUUGAAGAACAUCCCCAACCUACAAGCGCAGUUGAUCCGACUGAAGUUGAAAUCCCAGCGGUUGAUGAUCUGAUCAUGGAGAUUCGAGUGGUCACGCCCGAUUGGACAGUGUCGUAUAUUGCAUAUAUCCUGAGGCAAGAGCUACCCGAAGAUGAAGACGGAGCUAGACAAAUUUUCCGCUGAUCAAAAGCUUUCACGGUCAUGGGAGAUCAGCUAUAUAAGGAAAGUGUGUCUCGCGUUGCUCAGCAGUGCAUUUCCCUUGAGGAAGGUCGACUGAUUUUGGAGGAAAUUCACUCGGGAACUUGUGGUCAUCAUGCAUCCUCCAGAGCCAUCGUUGCCAAAGCAUUCUGAGGUGGGUUCUUCUAGCCAUGUGCGGGCUAAAUGGCAAAGGAGCUUGUAGACCGCUGUGAAGGAUGUCAAUUCUACUCCAAGAAAUCACACAAGCCGUCAUCUGCUCUGAAGACAAUCCCCCUCAUAUGGCCUUUUGUCGUGUGGGGCUUGGACAUGGUCGGACCCUUCCGUACAGGACAAGGCAGAUUCACUCAUUUUCUAGUCGCAUUUGACAAAUUCACCAAGUGGAUAUAAGCCAAGCCAAUCAAAAAGCUAGAUGCAUGCACAACAAUCAAGUUCAUGAGGGAAAUCACUAUCAGAUUUGGGGUUCCACACAGCAUCAUCAUAGACAAUGGAUCGAACUUUGACUCGGAUGAAUUCAAGAGUUUUUGCUCCAACCAAGGAACCCGAGUGGAUUACGCAUCCGUUGCUCAUCCCCAAACGAAUGGCCAGGCUGAACGAGCGAAUGGACUCAUACUUCAAGGGUUAAAGCCUCGUCUUUUGCGGGAGGUUGGACACGCUGCGGGUGCUUGGGUCACCGAGUUACCUUCUGUGAUCUGGGGACUCAGAACGACCCCGAAUAGGUUGACUGGGCGGUCUCCAUUCUUCCUCAUAUACGGUACAGAAGCCGCCCUUCCGAGUGAUUUACUUCACAAUUCCCCCAGAGUUGAGAUCUUCUCGAAAGCCAAAGAUGAACAAGGCCGACAUGAUGGGGUCGAUCUUUUGGAGGAGGAGCACGAGAUGGAUCUGAUUCGAUCAACGAUCUACGAACAGGACUUGCGAUGGUUUCAUUCAAGACACGUCAGUAGUCGGACGUUUCAAGCAGGCGAUUUGGUACUCCGAGUGCAUCAGUAGAGACCGCACAAGCUGGCCCCCGCCUGGGAAGGACCCUUCAUCGUCUCCAAGGUGCUGAACAACGGGUCAUACAGACUCUACAAUUUGGAGAAGAGGAUCGAUGAGCCGUGAGCAUGGAACGAAGACUUACUUAAGCGUUUUUAUGCCUGAUUUACGACUGUUUUGAUGUAACGACCAAGGUUCCCUAAAGCAAUUUACUUGCCAGAAGCUUUGAUUACUGCAAUAUGCUUGUUGACUCUGGUGUAGAAAACUUCUCCGAGUGAAGAGCUACCCUCUCACUCGGGGGCUUAGCCGCGAACCAGAUUCGCCUAAGUUACAAACUUCUCCGACUGAAGAGCUACGCUCUCACUCGAGGGCUUAGCCGCGAACCAGAUUCGCUUAAGUUAAAAACUUCUCCGAGUGAAGAGCUACCCUCUCACUCGGGGGCUUAGCCACGAACCAGAUUCACCUAAGUUAAAAACUUCUCCGAGUGAAGAGCUACCCUCUCACUCGAGGGCUUAGUCACAAACCAGAUUCGCCUAAGUUAAAAAUUCUCCGAGUGAAGAGCUACCCUCUCACUCGGGAGGCUUAGCCGCGAACCAGAUUCGCCUAAGUUAAAAAACUUCUCCGAGUGAAGAGCUACCCUCUCACUCGGAAGCUUAUCCGCAAACCAGAUUCGCCUAAGUUAAAAAUUCUCUGAGUGAAGAGCUACCCUCUCACUCGGAGGCUUAGCCGCGAACCAGAUUCGCCUAAGUUAAAAAACAUCUCCAAAUGAAGAGCUACCCUCUCACUCGGGGGCUUAGUCGCGAACCAGAUUCGCCUAAGUGAAAAACUUCUUCGAGUGAAUAUCUACCCUCUCACUUGGGGGGCUUAGCCGCGAACCACAUUUGCCUAAGUCAAAAAACUUCUCCGAGUGAAGAGAUAUCCUCUCACUCGGACGCUUAGCCGCGAACCAGAUUCGCCUAAGUGACGAAAUCCCUGCCCAACUUUGCGUCAAGCUUCGCUUAGCUCGGAAGACUUUGCGUAUACCAAGAGCAUCCCCAAAAAGAAAAAGUUCAUUCGACAAAGAUAAACUCAAAUCCAGUUGAAGCGAGCAAAUAAAUGAUACCCGGCGCAGAUCAAGGUUAUCUGCACAGGACGAAAGCACUCAGGUCAUUACCCGAAUGAAGUUUAAAGUGUUUACAUAAAACCACUCGGCAUACCGAGGAAAAUCGAAGUUUUUUCCCACAAUUGAUAGUCUUCCUCACGGCUCACCUGGACUGGCCGGUUCCACGAAGGUAUCGAGGUCGAUGACGUCGGUGAUGCAUGUUGCAGUGUCAAUGAAGGUCUCCAUGAAGUCUUCAAACCGAAGCUUCUUCGUGUUUGCAACCUGUAGAGCCUUCAACUUCUCCUCCCAAGUCUCCUUGCAGUGGACCCUCACGAGAGAAAGAGUCACAUCAGCCCCGCACCGAGCAGCUGAUUUCUUCCACGCUUGGACUCUUUCAGGAACAAGACCCAGGCGCUCCAUCACAGCAUCCAGACCGACAAGGAACGUGUCUUCAAGCCAUAGCUCUUUGUCAAUUCUUCCCACAGCAGCUCGCAGACGAGUGAAGUAUCCUUGGACUUUAACGAGGCGGCAGUUGAGGCGAUACAUGUUCACGGCCAAGUCAUCAGGAACAAGAAACUUAAUGGGAUCCAAGUAUGGCUCCACCUCCAAGGUCUCUUUUUCGAAAUCAAGACAGAACUCUGCAGAAGAAGAACAACGAAAUAUCAGAUGCAUGUGAGUCGAUGGGAAAAGCUAAGACUCACUUGGUAAAGGGAACAUACCAAUGAGAGAAUCGAGCAUUUUUGCCAGGAAAUCUUUUACAAAGCCUUCCAAGGCAUUUCCCCUUUUUGAAAUGGAGUGAAGUUUAUUCGCCCAUUCGUCUCUUUCAUUCUUCAUAUGUUCAUUUUAUGUCGUCAACUUAUUAAAAUCCGCAAGCUUCAGUUCAUCAGCUUCGGACUUCUUCUUCAGCUCGGCAAGGACUAGAUCCUUGUCUUCCGGCAUCUUUUUCAUCGCAUCACACUCCAGCUUCAGUUUAUCCCUCUCACAUUCCACUUGGGUGUACUAUGACCCAAUUUCGCAAGCUUUCUACAAGAGUCAAGACAAACAUCACUCGACAUAUAUAACACUUCUGAGUGAUAUAUGGUCAAAGUAAAAUCACUUCCGAGUGAUAAAAACUUCUUUCGAUUAAAGGAUAAGAUAUGUUUCAGAUCAGACCCCAGCCGAUGCAAGCAUUCGACAUCGGUCUCGGGGACUACACCCUGUGGGUUCACUCGGCGUGACCCCACUGAAUUAGCACUCGGUCAGGUCUGCCCUGACAAGCCAAAAAUAUUAUACACUCAAGUACUUCAAACUAUUAUCACUCACUUCCGACUAAUAAUAGUCUGGGGGACUACACCCAGUGGGUGCACGAUGACCCACAAGUAUAGGGGAUCAAUCGUAGUCCUUUCGAUAAGUAAGAGUGUCGAACCCAACGAGGAGCAGAUGGAUCUGACAAGUGGUUUUCAGCAAGGUAAAAUCUGCAGGCACUGAAAUUGUCGGUAACAAGUGAUUGUGUGGUGAGAUGAUUCGUAGCAAGCAACAAGUAACAAAAGUAGCAACGGUGCAGCAAAGUGGCCCAAUCCCUUUUGUAGCAAGGGACAAGCCUGGACAAAGUCUUAUAGGAGGAAAAACGCUCCCGAUGACACACGGGAAUUUCUGUCAUGCUAGUUUUCAUCAUGUUCAUAUGAUUCACGUUCAUUACUUUGAUAGUUUGAUGUGUGGGUGGACCAGCGCUUGGGUACUGCCCUUACUUGGACAAGCAUCCCACUAAUGAUUAACCCCUCUCGCAAGCAUCCGCAACUACAAAAGAAGAAUUAAGUAAAGUUUAACCAUAGCAUUAAACUAGUGGAUCCAAAUCAGCCCCUUACGAAGCAACACAUAAACUAGGGUUUAAGCUUCUGUCACUCUAGCAACCCAUCAUCUACUUACUACUUCCCAAUUCCUUCCUCUAGGCCCAAAUAAUAGUGAAGUGUUAUGUAGUCGACGUUCACAUAACACCACUAGAGGAAAAACAACAUACAACACAUCAAAAUACCGAACGAAUACCAAAUUCACAUGACUACUAUUAGCAUGACUUAUCCCAUGUCCUCGGGAAUAAAAGUAACUACUCACAAAGCAUAACCAUAUUCUUGACCAGAGAGGUAAUGAGUAGCAUCAAGGAUCUGAACAUAAACUCCUCCACCAAACAAUCCAACUAGCAUCAACGACAAAGAGUAAUCAAUACUAUUAGCAACCUUACAAGUACCAAUCGGAGUCGCGAGACGGAGAUUGGUUACAAGUGAUGAACUAGGGUUUGGAGAUGAGAUGGCGCCGAUGAAGAUGUUGAUGGUGACGAGUGACGAUGGCGACGAUUUCCCCCUCCGGCAGGAUCGUCUUGCCGGAGCUCUAGAUUGGUUCUGCUCAAGUUCCGCCUCGUGGCGGCGGCGAAUCCACGAAAAAGCUCCUCCCUUAUUUAUUUUUCUGGACGAAACCCUUCAUAUAGCAGAAGAGGGGGCCAGUGGGCCAACAGGCUGCCCACAAGCCCCCUUGGCGCGGCCUAGGGGGUGGCCGCAUCGUGCAGGCUUGUGGCCACCUCGUGGCGCCCCUCGGGCGCUUCUUCGGCCCAGUAUUUUUUAUAAAUUGUGAAAAAAAUCCUCGUUGAUUUUUACGGCGUUUUGAGUUGCGCAGAAUAGGUAUCUCAACUUUGCUCCUUUUUCAGGCCAGAAUUCCAGCUGCCGGCAUUCUCCCUCUUCAUGUAAACCUUGCAAAAUAAGACAGAAAAGGCAUAAGUAUUGUACCGUGAAGUGAAAUAACAGCCCAAUAAACGAUAAAUAUCAACAUGAAAACAUGAUGCAAAAUGGACGUAUCAACUCCCCCAAACUUAGACCUCGCUUGUCCUCAAGCGAAAGCCUAGCUCAAUAAAUAUGUCCACAUGUUUAGGGAGAGAGGUGUCGACAAAACAAGAUACGAACAUGCAUUCAUCAUGAUCAUGAUCAGAACAGCAAUACCAACAUGUAGUCUCUCAUGCUAAAGUGAUAAUUCCUUCACAAAGUAAAGCAUGGAUCAAGAACCUUACCGAGAAGUAACAACCAAUAGCCUUUCGUCAAUGAAGCAAUUGCAAUUUAUCACAACAUCAGAAAGAGUCAAAUAAGAGCUUGUAAAGAAAAUCCACAUACUCAAUCAUUCUUUCAUUCUCUACAAUUGCUACAACUCACGUGGUACUCAUGAGAUCAAAGUUUCAGCUGGACACGGAGAAAGAUAGGGGCUUACAGUUUUGCCUCCCAACUACUUACCUCAAGGGUAAUGUCAACAAUAAUAAUUCAUGAAUACUUACUUCCAAUUUGACAUAUGAAGAUAGAUCUUUCCCAAGCAUAUGACGUUAGCCAAGAUAAAGGCGAAAUAGGGAAUUGGUGAAGAUCACCAUGACUCUUUCAAGAGCAAAAAGUAAAGGUACAAGAUAGGCCCUUUGCAGAGGGAAGCAGAGGUUGUCAUACACUUUUGAGGUUUGGAUGCGUGUCCUCUUAGUGCGGAGGAACGUCACUUUAUAUUGCCGCCUGUGAUAAAUAACUUUAUUAUGCAGUCUGUUGCUUUUAUGUCUUCCUCAUCACAGGUUCGUAUAAAACUUAUUUUCCACACACUAAUAGAUCAUACAUAUUAGAGAGCAAUUUUUAUUGCUUGCACCGAUGACAACUUACUUGAGGGAUCUUAUUCAAUCCAUAGGUAGGUAUGGUGGACACUCAUGGCAAAACUGGUUUGAAGGUUUAUGGAUGCACAAGUAGUAUCUCUACUUGGUGCGGAAGUUUUGGCUAAUAUGAGGUGGAAGCAAUCGUCACAUGCUAAGGGAUCUCUAAUCAUAUAACAUUGUUCGGAACCAAGAAAACACAAUUCAUUAUGUUGUCUUCCUUGUCCAACAUCUACUUCUAGGCAUGCAAUAGUUUAGUGAGUGUUCACAAUCGUAGAUGGUGUCAGAGAUGAUAUAUUUAUAUGUGAACCUCUCCUUCUUUAUCACUUCCUAUUAAUUGCAACCAUGACCAAGGUCUACGUUUGCCUACCCUCAACAAGUUUCAAUCCUCAUUCUUUUUAUAUGUGAAGCCAUCACUUCCCAUAAGAUGAUUACAUGAUCUUUCAUGCUUUUGUUCUAUUCUCACUCUUUUGAUCAUGGCAAGAGGCAAAGCCCUUCAACUAAGACACUCUUUAUUAUAUGGCUCACGAGCUCGAAUACAUCGGGGGUGACACAAAGCAAAACUCAAGACUAAAACACUAAGACUUUUAAUCUACUAGAGAAAAGAGAAAAGUGAAAAGGAAAACUAAAACAAAGGUAAAGGCAAAAGAUGUGAUGGUGAUACGAUACUGGGCCAACUCCCCCAAGCUUGGCACAAGCCAAGGGGAUUGCCCAUACCCAUGCUCAGUGGUCUUCCUUUGGAGGUGAUGGUGGUGGAGUUGUUGCAACAUGGAUUUGAUCCUCCGUCUUCCAAGGCAUAGGUGCUCCAUCAUGGAAAGAUGAACGAGUCCCCGGGAUCCUCAAAUCUGCAGCCAACCGUAUUGAUUUAAAUCUAUACUCAUACUCACAGUUUUGGUUCUGCAGGUCAUAGAUUUGGGCCUGGAGUUGAUCAAUCCUGUCAUAGAGCCUGGAGAGGUGCUUCCCAAUGUCAUUGGCGUCAAUCCUGUGUUUGUUGGUGAAUUCCGUGAUCAUCAUGUGAUUGGCCUAAGUCCAUGCUCCAUCAUCCCUUGGCACUUGAAAACUUGUUGCUCCAUUGCUUCGAGCCUCGUCUCCACGCUUCCGGUCUUCUUGGGCCCCUCAACAUCACGGAUGUGCAACAUCCCCUCACGCAUCUCGAUAGAUUGAGGGUGUUGCAGCACUCCCAUGAGGUAGGGAUUGAUGACCUUGUCGAAGAUCUUGUCCUUCGGAGCUUUUGGGGAAGUCAUAGCAAUCUAGAUUUGCAAUGGAAAUAGGCUCGAAACGAAAAACAAAGGAAAUAUGCAUGAUGCAGGGGUCAGACCAAACGGGAGUAUAUAUAAUGAUUUUUUUCAGACCAGAAGGAGUACCCUGCACGAAAACAAAGUCCGGGAGGCGCACGAGGUGGCCACAAGCCCUCCCGGCGCGGCCAGGGGGUGGGCCCGUGCUGGGCAGGCUUGUCUCCUCCUCGCGCACUUUCCGGACUACUACCAAUUUUUGUAUUUUUCCAAGUAUUCCAAAACGGAGAAAAUUUCCUACUGGAAAAGUUUUGGACUCUGUUUUCUUACCAAAUAACAUACCUCUUCGUUUUCGGAGUCUGAAACAGGCUGAUAAAUAUCCCUUAGGUAUUCUUCCGGAGUUAUGGUAUUGAUGAUAUUGCUUUCAACAUUUAUGGGAGUACCUGAGAUAUAAUGCUUGAUUCGGUGCCCAUUUACAACUCUCGGACAAUUACCUUCCGUGUUGUUGAUCUAGAUAACACCAGAACGAUGUACUUCCACAACAACAUAGGGACCUUCUCAUUUAGAGAGAAGCUUGCCUGCAAAGAAUCUUAAACGAGAGUUACAUAGCAAGACAUAAUCACCUACAUUGAACUCACGCUUUUGUAUCCUCUUAUCAUGCCACCUCUUAACUUUCUCUUUGAACAACUUGGCAUUCUCAUAUGUGUGAGUUCUCCAUUCAUCAAGCGAGCUAAUAUCAAAUAACCUCUUCUCACCAGCAAGUUUGAAAUCAAGUUGAGCUCUUUGAUUGCCCAAUAAGCUUUAUGCUCUAGCUCAAGAGGUAAAUGACAUGAUUUACCGUACACCAUUUUGUACAGAGACAUGCCCAUGGGAUUCUUAUAGGUAGUUCUAUAAGCCCAUAGUGCAUCAUCAAGCUUCUUAGACCAAUUCUUUCUAGACCUGUUGACAGUCUUUUGCAGAAUUAGUUUAAUCUCUCUGUUCUUAGCACUACUUGACCACUGGACUGAGGGUGAUAGGGAGACGCAAUUCUAUGGUUGACAUCGUACUUAGCAAGCGUUUUACGGAAAGCACCAUGAAUGAAGUGUGAAUCACCGUUGGUCCUUAGAUAUCUAGGGACUCCAAAUCUAGGGAAGAUAACUUCUUUUAGCAUCCUGAUGGAGGUGGUGUGAUCAGCACUACUAGUGGGGAUAGCUUCUACCCACUUAGUGACGUAAUCAACGACAACUAAGAUGUGAGUAUACCCGUUGGAUUUUGGAAAAGGUCCCAUAUAAUCAAAGCCCCAAACAUCAAAUGGUUCAAUGACAAGUGAAUAGUUCAUAGGCAUUUCCUGACGUUUACCGAUAUUACCUAUUCUUUGACAUUCGUCACAAGACAAGACAAACUUACGGGCAUCCUUGAAGAGAGUGGGCCAAUAGAAACCUGAUUGCAGUAUGGUGUCCUCUAUAGGCCUCGGAGUGACACUUCUGCAGGAUUUGUCCCUGCUCAUGUUCAGGUACACAACAUCUAAUAACACCAUCUACUCCUUCCUUAUAAAGGUGAGGAUCAUCCCAAAAGUAGUGUCUCAAGUCAAAGAAGAAUUUCUUCUUUUGCUGGUACGUGAAACUAGGUGGUGUGUAUUUGGCAACGAUAUAGUUUGCAUAAUCAGCAUACCACGAUGCACUAUGUGAAGCAUUGAUGACAUUCAGUUGCUCAUCGGGAAAGCUAUCUUUUCAAUAGGUUGUGGGUCAUCAAGAACAUUCUCCAACCUAGACAAGUUAUCUGCUACGGGGUUAUCAGCACCCUUCCUGUCAACAACGUGCAAAUCAAAUUCUUGUAGCAAGAGAACCCAUCUAAUAAGUCUAGGUUAGCGUCUUUCUUCUCCAUGAGGUACUUAAUAGCAGCAUGAUCAGUGUGAAUAGUGACUUUGGUAUCAACCAUGUAAUACCUAAACUUUUCAUAUGCAAACACGACUGCUAAAAAUUCCUUCUCCGUAGUAGCAUAGUUUCUCUGGGCACUGUCUAGAGUUUUACUAGUGUAGUGAAUAACAUUCAACUUCUUAUCGACUCUUUGCCCUAGAGCAGCACCAACAGCAUAAUCACUAGCAUCACACAUGAUUUCAAAAGGCAAGUUCCAAUCAGGUGGUUGAACAAUAGGUGCAGUUAUCAAAGCCCUCUUAAGUAUUUCGAAGGCUUCCUCACAAUCAUCGCUAAAAACAAAAGGAAUAUCCUUUUGCAAGAGUUGGUAAGAGGCCUAGAAAUCUUAGAGAAGUCUUUAAUGAACCUUCUAUAGAAACCAGCAUCACGAAGGAAACUUCUUAUACCUUUGAUAUCUAUGGGGUAUGGCAUUUUCUCGAUUGCAUCAACCUUAGCCUUAUCAACUUCAAUACCUCUUUCAGAAAUUUUAUGUCCUAAGACGAUGCCUUCAUUAACCAUAAAGUGGCACUUCUCCCAAUUCAAGACAAGAUUGGUAUCUUUACAUGUUUGCAAGACUCGAUCAAGGUUGCUGAGGCAAUCAUCAAAGGAAGACCCAUAAACGGAGAAGUCGUGCAUGAAAACCUCAACAAUCUUUUCACAGAAGUCAGAGAAUAUAGCCAUCAUACAUCUUUGAAAGGUGGAAGGUGCAUUGCAUAAGCCAAAAGGCAUACGUCUAUAAGCAAAGGUACCAAAAGGGCAGGUGAAAGUGGUUUUUUCCUGAUCAGAUUGUGCAACUGGUAUUUGGGAGAAACCAGAAUAACCGUCUAGAAAGCAGAAGUGUGUGUGUUUAGACAGUCUUUCUAGCAUUCGGUCGAUAAAAGCAAAGGGUAAUGAUCUUUCCUAGUGGAUUUAUUCAAUUUCCUAAAAUCGAUCACCAUCCUAUAGCCAGUAAUAAUCCUCUGUGGGAUCAAUUCAUCCUUACCAUUAGGGACAACGGUAAUACAUCCCUUCUUAGGGACGCAAUGCACCGGACUCACCCAAUCGCUAUGAGCAACAGGAUAGAUAAUACCCGCUUCCAGGAGCUUUAGUAUUUCUUUUCUUACUACUUCUUUCAUCUUAGGAUUCAAUCUCCUUUGAUGAUCAGCAACUAGUUUAAAAUCAGGAUCGGUUUUAAUCUUGUGCUAGCAUAGAGUGGGACUAAUGCCCUUAAGAUCAUCAAGAUUAUAUCCAAUAGCAGCACGGUGCUUCCUCAGAGUUUUUAUUUACUUCUUUUCUUCAUGCUCUGAGAGGCUAGCACUAAUAAUAACAAGAUAUAUCUCUUUUUCAUCAAGAUAGGCAUACUUAAGAGUAUCAGGCAACUGUUUAAGCUCGAACACAGGAUCACCCUUUGGUGGGGGUGGAUCCCGAAGCAGUUCAACAGUCAGGUUAUUCUUAAGGAUAGGAUAUUGUUCUAAGACAACUCUAUCUAUCUCAUCCCUUUCAUCCAUAUGCAUAUCAUUUUCAUGCUCAAGCAAGUAUUGCUCUAAAGGAUCAGUAGGAGGCACGACAAUAGAAGCUAAGGCAAUAGUUUCAUCCCUACUAGGCAACUCCUUUUCAUGAGGUUGUCUACCAAACUUGGAGAAAUUGAACUCAUGUGACACACCUUCAAAGCCAAUAGUGACAGUUUGCUGCUCAAAAUCAAUAUGAGCAUUGACAGUAUUGAGGAAGGGUCUGCCAAAUAUGAUAGGACAAAAGCUAUCUUGUGCGGUAGCAAGAACGAGGAAAUCAGCAGGAUACUUUGUUUUACCACACAAGCCUUCAACAUCCCUAACAAUUCCCACAGGGCAGAUAGUAUCUCUAUUGACAAGCUGAAUAGUGACAUCUAUAGGUUCUAUCUCAACAGGUGCAAUCUCAUAUUUAAUUUCAUCGUAUAAGGAUUGAGGUAUUGCACUAACACUAGCACCCACGUCACAUAAACCAUGAUAACAAUGAUCUCCUAUCUUAACAUAAACCACAUGCAUGCCAACAACAGGCCUAUGUUUGUCUCUAGCGUGAGGUUUAGCAAUUCUAGCAGCAUCUUCACAGAAGUGAAUAUCAUGUCCCUCAACAUCAUCGGACAGAAGAUCUUUGAUAAUAGCAAUGCUAGGUUCAACUCUAAUUUUCUCAGGGGGUGUAGGUCUUCUAAUGUAGCCUCUACGUAUCACAGUUGAAGCUUUAGAAUGAUCCUUUAUCCUAACAGGGAAAGGUGGUUUCUCAAUGUAAGCAUUGGGAACAAUAGGAUCAUUAUAGGCAAUGACUUUCUCUUCAACUGGAGUGAGUUUAACUACAUUGACUUCUAAAGGAGGAUAAUAUUUAAACCACUUAUCUUUGGGGAGAUCAAUAUGUGCAGCAAAUGAUUCACACAAUGAAGCUACUAUCUCAAAGUCAAGUCCAUACUUAGCGCUAAAGUCACAAAACGUAUUUGUCUCAACAAAGGAUUUAACGCAAUCAAACUGGAAAUUCAUACCUGACUCCUUACCUUCUUCAAGCUCCCAAUCUUCAGAGUUGCGUUUAAUUCUCUCCAAUAAAUUCCAUUUGAAGUCAAUAUCUCUCUUCAUAAAAGAGCCGGUACAAGAAGUGUCAAGCACGGUGCGAUCAUCAUGAGAAAGCCGAGCAUAGAAGUUCUGAAUGAUAAUUUCUCUCGAGAGCUCAUGAUUGGGGCAUGAAUAUAGCAUUGAUUUAAGCCUCCCCCAAGCUUGAGCGAUGCUUUCUCUGUCACGAGGCCAAAAAUUAUAAAUAUAAUUCCGAUCACGAUGUACUAAAUGCAUAGGAUAAAACUUUUGAUGAAAUUCCAAUUUCAACCGAUUGUAGUCCCAUGAUCCAAUAUCACCACAUAGCCUAUACCAUGUCAACGCCUUAUCCUUCAAAGAUAAAGGAAAGACCUUCUUCUUGACCUCAUCCUCGGGCAAACCUGCAAGCUUAAAUAAACCACAAACUUCAUCUACAUAGAUUAGAUGCAAGUAUGGAUGUGAUGUUCCAUCUCCUCUAAAAGGAUUAGAUAGCAGUUUCUCAAGCAUACCCGAAGGAAAUUCAAAGCAAAUAUUUUCAGUAGGUGCAACAGGUUGAGGAGCAACUCUUUGUACUUCUGUUUGAGGUGAAGAUACCUCGAACAAGCCCCUCAAAGGAUUAGUAUCCAUAGUGACAAGUGACAAUAAAUUUCAGCACACUAUAUGAAUGUUUCCUUACCAAGAUCAACUUACCAAAGGCGCUUCACUCCCCGGCAACGGCGCCAGAAAAGAGUCUUGAUGACCCACAAGUAUAGGGGAUCAAUCGUAGUCCUUUCGAUAAGUAAGAGUGUCGAACCCAACGAGGAGCAGAAGGAUCUGACAAGUGGUUUUCAGCAAGGUAAAAUCUACAGGCACUGAAAUUGUCGGUAACAAGUGAUUGUGUGGUGAGAUGAUUCAUAGCAAGCAACAAGUAACAAAAGUAUCAACAGUGCAGCAAAGUGGCCCAAUCCCUUUUGUAGCAAGGGACAAGCCUGGACAAAUUCUUAUAAGAGGAAAAACGCUCCCAAGGACACACGGGAAUUUCUGUCAUGCUAGUUUUCAUCAUGUUCAUAUGAUUCGCGUUCGUUACUUUGAUAGCUUGAUAUGUGGGUGAACCAGCGCUUGCGUACUGCCCUUACUUGGACAAGCAUCCCACUUAUGAUUAACCCCUCUCGCAAGCAUCCCCAACUAUGAAAGAAGAAUUAAGACAAAGUCUAACCAUAGCAUUAAACUAGUAGAUCCAAAUCAGCCGCUUACGAAGCAAUGUAUAAACUAGGGUUUAAGCUUCUGUCACUCUAGCAACCCAUCAUGUACUUACUACUUCCCAAUGCCUUCCUCUAGGCCCAAAUAAUGGUGAAGUGUUAUGUAGUCGACGUUCACAUAACACCAGUAGAGGAAAAACAACAUACAACACAUCAAAAUACCGAACGAAUACCAAAUUCACAUGACUACUAUUAGCAUGACUUAUCUCAUGUCCUCGGGAACAAAAGUAACUACUCACAAAGCAUAAUCGUAUUCAUGACCAGAGAGGUAAUGAGUAGCAUCAAGGAUCUGAACAUAAACUCCUCCACCAAACAAUCCAACUAGCAUCAACUACAAAGAGUAAUCAACACUACUAGCAACCUUACAAGUACCAAUUGGAGUCGCGAGAUGGAGAUUGGUUACAAGUGAUGAACUAGGGUUUGGAGAUGAGAUGGUGCUGAUGAAGAUGUUGAUGGUGACGAGUCCCCUCCGAUGAGAGGAGUGUUGGUGAUCACGAUGGCGACGAUUUCCCCCUCCGGGAGGGAAGUUUCCCCGGCAGGAUCGUCCUGUCAGAGCUCUAGAUUGGUUCUGCUCAUGUUCCGCCUCGUGGCGGCGGCGAAUCCACGAAAAAGCUCCUCCCUUAUUUUUUUCUGAACGAAACCCUUCAUAUAGCAGAAGAGGUGGGCCAGUGGGACAGCAGGCUGCCCACAAGCCCCCUUGGCGCGGCCUGGGGGGUCGCCGCGCCGUGCAGGCUUGUGGCCACCUGCUGGCGCCCCUCUGACGCUUCUUCGGCCCAGUAUUUUUUAUAAAUCAGGAAAAAAUUCCUCGUUGAUUUUUACGGCGUUUGGAGUUGCGCAAAAUAGGUAUCUCAACUUUGCUCCUUUUUCAGGCCAGAAUUCCAGCUGCCGACAUUCUCCCUCUUCAUGUAAACCUUGCAAAAUAAGAGAGAAAGGCAUAAGUAUUGUACUGUGAAGUGAAAUAACAGCCCAAGAAGCGAUAAAUAUCAACAUGAAAACAUGAUACAAAAUGGACGUAUCAGUGCACUUAGCGUGCUCCCACUGGAUUCAAAACUCAACUAGAUUAGCUCUGGUUGAGUUUGAACAGCAAAAAAAGAAAAGCCUCUAUUGAUUAAGACCACUGCCAGUGCAAGCACUCGACAACGGUCUCGGGGUCUUCACCUAGUGGGUUCACUCGGAGUGACCCCACUGGAACACAAAUGAAACAAAGACAAUUCUACAAAAAGCAACCCCGAGUGGGUGUGAGUCGGAACUCAAACUUACGGUCGAACUUACUCGGACGUUUUCUUGAAGCAUCACGCUGUUGUUGUACACCGAGACGAUGGCGUCAUAGGCUCGUUUUGCUUGCUGCAUCAUCAACCCUGCCUGGAUCAUAACCUCCUUGGCGGCACCAGUCUGAUCUUCAGGAACACGUCGUGUGGCAUACACAGUCGCGGGAGACAUCAAUCCCGAGGCCGUAGCAGAAACAACUGGAGCGCUUGAUUGCAACCCAAUCGGGGUCGUGGUGACAACGAUUGAACUAACAGGCGGAGCACUCACUACGGCCAUUGUCGCCACGGACACCUUGGACACAACAGGGUCCACCGCAGCAGUUGAUUGCCUUUGAUCGUCGUUGUCUAGCUGGAUGACCUCUCUUGCAGCAGGCGCGGCUGGCACACAGAAACAUCAGAAGUUACAAUCAGGAAAACAUACACACGGAAGGAUGACACGGAAGGGAAAAUAAGUUAUACCUAGCUGUGAGGUGGCUGCAUCUGCAGUAUCAACUCAUACGUCUCCGUCGUAUCUACUUUUACGAACUCUUUUGCCCUUGUUUUGGACUCUAAUUUGCAUGAUUUGAAUGGUACUAACCCGGACUGACAUUGUUUUCAGCAGAAUUGCCAUGGUGUUGUUUUUGUGCAGAAAUAAAAGUUCUCGGAAUGUCCUGAAAAUUUACGAAGAAUUUUUCUGGAAUAAAAUAAAAAUACCUGCGCAAAGAUCCACCGGAGGGGGCGUGCCAGUGGGCCACAAGCCCCUGGGCCGCGGCCACCCCCCUAGGUCAUGCCGUGAGGGCUUGUGGGGCCCACGUGGCACCACCACCCCCAAACUCAGCUCUAUAUCUUCCGUCUCGCCCACGGAAAAAAUACAGAGAGAAGGUUUCAUCGCGUUUUACGAUACGGAGGCGCCACCACCUCCUGUUCUUCAUCUGGAGGGCAGAUCUGGAGUCCGUUCGAGGCUCCGGAGAGGGGAAAUCGUCGCCAUCGUCAUCAUCAACCUUCCUCCAUCGACAAUUCCAUGAUGCUCUUCACCGUUCGUGAGUAAUCUCAUCGUAGGCUUGCUGGACGGUGAUGAGUUGGAUGAGAUCUAUCAUGUCAUCGAGUUAGUUUUGACGGUGAUUGAUCCCUAGUACCCACUAUGUUCUAGAUUGAUGUUGCUACUACUUGGCUAUGCUUAAUGCUUGUCACUAGGGCCCGAGUGCCAUGAUUUCAGAUCUGAACCUAUUAUGUUGUCGCCAAUAUAUGUGUGUUUUAUAUCCUAUCUUGCAAGUUGUAGUCACCUACUAUGUGUUAUAACCCGGCAACCCUGGAGUGACAAUAGCCGGAACCACUCCCGGAGAUGACCAUAGUAUGAGGAGUUCAUGUAUUCACCAAGUGUUAAUGUGUUGGUCCGGUUCUUUAUUAAAAGGAGAACCUUAAUAUCCCGUAGUUUCCAUUAGGACCCCGCUGCCAGGGGAGGGAUGGACAAUAGAUGUCAUGCAAGUUCUUUUCCCUAAGCACGUAUGACUACAUACGGAAUACAUGCCUACAUUAGAUUGAUGAACGAGAGCUAGUCACAUAUCUCUCCAUGUUAUAGAUGUUACAUGAUGAAUCACAUCUGUCAUACUCAUCCAUCACCGAUCCACUGCCUACGAGUCUUUUACUACUGGUCCUUGCUACAUUACUUUGUCCAGGCUUGUCCCUUGCUACAAAAGGGAUUGGGCCACUUUGCUACUACUGUUGCUACUGUUGUUCCUUGCUACUUUGCUAUUACUUGUUGUAAGACUUUUUCGACACCGUUGCCGGGGAAGAAUAGUUCCCCGUCCACGUUCUCUUUACUGGCACCACUGAUACAACAGUUAGGAAUACCUGCCGUCAACAGAUCUGUUUCUGACACCGUUGCUAUUAUACUACUUUGCUACUAAUACUUUGCUUGCAGACACUAAUCUUUCAGGUGUGGUUGAAUCUGACAAACUCAGCUGCUCAUAGAAUAUUCUUUCGCUUCCCCUUGUGGCGAAUCAACAAAUUUGGGUUGAAUACUCUAUCCUCGAAAACUAUUGCGAUCCCCUACACUUGUGGAUUAUCAUCAACCUCCAUGAGAUCUUCAUCCCCUCGCGGCGGCGACGUGACAGAAGUAGCAGCUCUGUCAAGGCAAUCUCAAUCGAUCAUCAUCAACCAAAAUGUUCACUCGGAUAAGAGUAUAAUAUCAAGUACUUACGCGGAGGUGACUGGAACGGCAAUCCUCAUCCUAUGCACGGCCUUCCGAGACUUAGGUCUGCUGGGCUUGGGCACCUUCGUAGGCUGUUCUACUGGUUCUCCACACGAUCCCUAACGCGCUUGACACUCCUGCCACUCGAUGCCGAAGGUUUACCUGGAGUACCAGCGGGGUCAUGACGCUGUUUGGUCCGGGGCUCAAGGCGAGAAGGAGAUGAAUCUUCCUCCUCGCUCUCCUCCGACUCCUCUUCCUCGGUCUCUUCCCUGUCGUCGACAUAGUCCUCGCUCUCCACACUGUCCUCCAUGCUCCCCUCGUUAAGAUCGAGUGUGUUGCCAUUCGGGAAUGCAAGUUCGUCCAGCCCUGCAAGAUACAAUCCACGAUCUCAGUCAACAAGGAAAUUGCAAGCACUCGGUUCAAACACAAAAGUAUUCGGCGGAGCAGAACUAACCUUGUUUGUCAGCGGGUUUUCGGCUGAGAAGGGCAAGAUCCUUUUCGCCCCCAUUGGGUUAUCGCAAGGAUCGGCUAUUCCGCGGAUCCACUUUGUUAUUGUGUCUUCGUUUACUUCCUCAGGAUGAGACCGAGUGGAAUCCUUAGGACCGGUGUAGUGCCACAUAGUGUGGUACCGAGCCUAGAGAGGCUGGAUGCGUCUACCAAGGAAGGUCUCUUAAAAGAUCCAUUCUUGUCACUCCAUUGCGGACCAGACCAAUCAGCACUUUGACCAAGGGAUCCACCUGAGUUUUCUCCUCCUUCGUCAACCCUAAUGUCCUCGGGGCACUCCGUAACUCUAGAGUAAAGGGAGGGAGUCCACUCGACAUGUUCGGGCAAGCAACAUCGUUACAGUAAAACCAAGUGGCUUGCCAGUUACGAACCGACUCCAAAAAGGUCAUGGCAGGAUAGCUACUUUUGGCUCUCUUCUGAAGCCCUAAACCCCCACACAACUGGAUGACAUGAGUCUUGUCAUUAGUCGGAUUAACUUUCUUCACCGACUGAGAUCUCAUGGUGAAGAUGGACUUAAAGAGUCUCCAGUGAGGAGGACACCCCAAGAAACACUCAGACAAGGUGAUAAAGCAAGAGAGAUGUGCAAUGGCAUUCAAAGGAAAAUGAUGCAACUCUGCACCAAAGAAGUUCAAAAAAAAACCGAAUGAAAAGAUGGGGUGGCAGAGAGAAACCUCUUUUGAUGUGGGUCAGGAGGAGAACCCGUUCUCCCUCCCGCGGCUUGGGCUCGACUUCAUCUCCAGGAAGCCUCCAAGACUUGUCCGCCAACAUGCCAUGUUCGACAAGCUCGAGGAGAUCCUCCUCCCGCACAGUGGAUCGGAGGAAAUCCCCUUGGAUCCAACCCGGCGGCAGAGCUUGCUUCUUCGACUUGGCGACGCCCUUCUUCUUCGCCUUCUCCAACUUGCCGAUCUUCCCUUUUGUCAUAGUGGUAGCGGUGAGAUUGGUUGCUUCGGUUUGCGUUGGUGGCUAAGGAGAAGGAAGAGCCGGCGAGAGGAAGAAGAUGAUGUCGUUCCAAACCCUAACGCUGGAGCUUUUUAUAACCAGUCGAAUGGGUCACUAGCAAGUGGGCCCUCGACCUAUCUCUCCGCAGGCCACCGCAAGAUAUGUGGCGGAGAUUGAGGCGCGGGAAUCGAGGUGACGGCAUCCACUUGAUGGCGAUGACGUCAUCGCCGCGUAUCGCGCGGCAACCGAAUUUUUCAAAUCCCAAAAAAUCCAGAACUGACAGGGUGAUUGGUCACAUCAAAAGAUCCUGCGAGGCGCGCCAUUUCGUUUGCUCACUCGAAUCUUCAAAUCCACUCUGAUAUUUUGUACCAAGCAGAAUCGAUCAAGGCGAAUGACGAAGAUCGCAAUCGACAUCCAAUUCGGCGAAACUUUGAAGAGCAUUCAAAUUCAGUCUGCUAUACCAAAAUUUAUAGUCACGCCUUCAUCACUCGAACCUCGAUCCAUUCGGGGGCUAAUGAUGGGGUUAUAGCCCUAGGGUAGGGUCAUAGGCCUGGCCUAUAAGUCCUAACCAAGGGCACCUCAUUAUUAGGUUGAGGAUCACAAUAUACUUACCGACUGGAUUAAGACGAUCUCUGAUCCACUCGGUAAAGAACAACUCUGAGUGUUAUUUUAUACUCGACGACUGGAUUUCACUCGGUGAAGAUCAGAAGUCAGUCGACAUAGAAGGCCAGAAGCCACUCCAGCGAAGCUAACGGUCAGACGUUAGACUACUGUAGUUAAUGACAUUUAUGGCAUACGUUACCUGUAACGUAUGCAUUCAAUCUCACUUAUAGCACCCUUGAAGGCCGGACACUUAUGAUGGACAGCGCACUCUAUAUAAGCCACCCCUCCCCUCUGGCACAAAGGUACGCAUUCUGUAACAUUCAUAUUCCACUCGACACUAAAGCUCCAGAGCACUGAGACGUAGGGCUGUUACGUCCACCGCAGAGGGGUCUGAACUAAUACAACCUUACCGUAGCUAGGACUCUGUCCUCUACUUUCCUACCCUACACAUCUACUGUCAAGCUUAUACCCACGACACACGUGCCCGGUCCGCGACCGUAUAAGGAUGGGAAUUACACAGUUCAGUUCGAGAUGGUCUGAGCAUAGACCAAGAAAAUGUAUCGAUAUAGUCCAUAUGAAGCCAGGCUUUGAGCAUGCCCGAGUAAUCCUGAGCGUUUGGUUAUUUUGGUUAUUUUGAUUCGGGUAGUUCAAUUUAUGGAUAAUGCGGGUAUUAAAAAAUGAGAACGGAAAUUGUUUCUGUCAGAAAAAUACACGAACCCAAAUUACCGGAAAUUUCGAUUGAGGUUAUUCGGGUACCCCAAAAAACAAAAUAUUCGAAGCACAUAUUAACUUUUGAUAUGAAUAAUUCAGAUUAUAUGGGUAAUAGUUGAGUGUAAUAAUAGUAUGGGUAUUUCGGGUUUUGCACACUGAAACCCAAACUCUAACCCGAAAAUCAAAUAGCAAGAAAAUAAAAACCUAACCCUAACCUGAUACUUGAAUUAUCCAACAUUUUAGAUAAUUCGGUUUGUUCGGAUUCGAAUAGCAGAUUCGGGUAUCCAAAUGCUUAGGCUCCGUUUGGCAUCAGUGUAUUUUUAUACACAUGUAUAUAUUUUACAGGGGUAUUAUAGCGAUCUUAAUUGAUUUUCGUUUGUAAAAACUGAUGCAUCUAGAUCUGUAUAAUUUUUACACGUGUAUGACUUUGUGAAACGCCAAUCCAAUCGGAGCCGUAGUGUGAUGUCCCAGAAUCUGGCUGUGAACCGGCACUUAAAGAGUAAGGGGGUGUUUGUUUCCAGGGACUAAAAAAAUCCCAAAAAGUCUCAUGUGAAACAAACAGGAGGGACUUUUAGGGACUAAAGUGGGGUGUUUGGGACUAUUUGGAGAAGUACCUGUGGGAGGGACUUUUUGGGACUUUUUCCUACCGUGCCCCGCAUCGCGUCGCGUCUCUAGCCUUAUCCGCUCGCUCGUCCUGCGAGCCGCUCGCGUCUCCCACCAGCCGCUCGCGCUCGCCUCUCCCACCAGCCGCCGCCGCCGCCAGUUCCCUCAGCCGCCGCGGCCAGUGCCCUUGUCCCUUCCCCUGCCGCUGCCAGUGCGCUCGGCCGCCAGCAGUUCCCUCGGCCGCCGCAGCCAGUGCCCUCGGCUGCCGCCGCCAGUGCCCUCGUCCCUUCCCCUCCCGCUGCCAGUGCGCUCGGCCGCCGCUGCCAGUCCUCUCGGCCGCCGCAGCCAGUGCCCUCGGCCGCCGCCGCCAUGGAUGAAGACGACGAGACGCAGCUCCCCUCUCUGUUCCGCUCGCAUCAACCGGCAUCCCAGGGCUCCUCCGCCGACGGCAAUCUGAGAAGGGGAUUCGGUUUUUUUGAUCUGAAUAGCAACGUGGAUGACUUUCCCGAUUUGGGCUCCUACCAGCAGCUUCUCCUUGACGAACAAGCCGUCCAUGAUCCUCCUUCGGCUAGCCCUGGUCGUGGUAGGGCUGUGUCUCAGGGAGGAGGAGGCUUGACCCGGUCUGUGAGCAUCAGCAGCGCUCACAUACGUCCAUUCGUCGCCCCUGCCGCAGCUUCCGUUGGUGGAGGCUUCAGAGGGCGUGGGAGGCCCUUGUUCGGUUGUUAUGAACAAGUGUUGUUCGAUUCUGUAAUAUUUGCUUAUGAACAAGUGUUAUGAACAAGUGUUGUUUGCUUCUAUAAUCUUUCAUUAUGAACAAGUGUUGUGAACAAGAGUUCUUUGCUUUUGUAAUAUUUGCUUAUGAACAAGUGUUAUUUAAUAAUCUGGUCAGGGGUAACAUGGUCUUUUUACAUGUCAUUUAAUGACCUUUAGUCCCUCGAAACAAACGGAUAGAGACUAGGGAAUUUUAAGUUAGGACUAAAAAAAGUCUCAGGACUUUUGAAACAAAGCCUAAAUGGUCGACGGUUUCUCCCUCAUGCCGGCCGGGCGGCACACCGCACAUGGCCUACUGUCUGCUCCUGCUAUAAGACGCGCGAUCGAUCGGUGGAUGCACGGGCCGAAACGGGGAAACCGUGCGCGUAACAUAGCGCGGAGUGUGCGUCCCCCGCGCCGUCACUGAUCGAGUGGCGGUGCAAGGCCAGCACAAAACACACGCACGCUGUGUGUGUCGUCGACGGAAAAUUCUCCGGGCACAGGGAAUCGUAGCCUGCGUGGUAAGUGGUGACAGCACCCCGCGUGCAUGGCUCUCAAGGAACGGACGCGAGGCUGCGUGGUAGGUGUGGCCGGACGUGUCCGUGUGGGGCUACAUCGCGCAUGCGUACGUCUCGAGUGCUUUGCGUCAGGCACAUGCACACAUGCAGCAAACGAACCGACGCGCGUACGUGCCGAGUGCUUUGCGUCAGGCACAUGCACAUGCAGCAAACGAACCGAACCGAAACGAAACGAAACAGGUACGGCACGUAGCAGACGCGAUCGAGCUAGCUACGUGUUCAUACGUGUAUCGGUCACUGGAUGGUCGGUGUGUGUGUUGUAUGUAUAACCUGGUCGGCUAAAUUCUUAGUACGUAGUAGUACGUCGUGGCAGUUGAACUGCCUAACGUCCAUCCAGCACACCAACGCAUGCUGUUAAACCCAUCUCUUGGUCACCAAUUCAUCGUCCAAAUAUAGGAGCCAAAGCAACCGGGACGGACGAGUGAAUCAAAAUCGGCGACGACCAGACCAACAACAACAACAACAACGUGCGAUGACGGACGAUCGAUCUCGCUCCGUGACAAAAGAAAAAAUAUCGUGGCAACGAAUUACUAGAACGCGACGACAGGCAACAACCCACGUGGUCAGGAACCGCACGAACGGUGAGGAACGCGUGCACGAGCCGGGGUGCGCCACGCGGGCCCUCGAGCGCCCUCCGCCGCUAAUGCUAAUUGCUAAACCCGUCUCGGCAUCUCGCGCCCCGGCUGAAGCACAUCGGCCGGUUGGCACCGCACCAACGGUCGCGAGGCCGGGAGGAGGACGACCCCUCCGACAGCGGAGGGCCAACCUCGGAUACGCCGGACAGCGACACGCCGGCGAGCCAGCGUCGUUCGCUCCAGGCUCCAGAGCAUGCAUGGUCCUGGACCCGGACGACGCAGAGUACGCUCCAGGCGGGCUUGCCUCGAAGUUUCGUCCGGCCAGUUCGCGAGCUGGGUAGGUGGCGUUGCGUUGUGAGAUCCUUCGUCUCCCCCAGCCGACGGCUCAAAACCGUGGUCAGAUUCAUGCCGUCAUUGCCGGCGGCAUGCAUGGAUUUGACAACCAUGUCCAUGCGCAUGCGGUGGUUGAGAGGGUUUUGUACCCUUGCUGCCUUUGCUGGUCCGGUGAGGCAAUUUCCUUCUGAAAAAUCCAGCAACUUUCGAAAUCGACGGUGCAAAACACUGGUACCAAGGAAAAGUCAGACACAUGCGGCUUAUUACAGUACUUCCUCCAUUUUAAAAUAUAAUACAUUUUAAAGAUUACACUAGAAAACUACAUACGAAGCAAAAUGAGUGAAUCUACGUUCUAAAAUAUGUCUAUAUACAUAUGUAUGUAGUUCAUAGUGCAAUAUCUAAAAGUUUUGUAUUUAGGAACGGAAGGAAUACAACUGAGGAACAGGCUGCUACACUGAGGGUGACCCCCGGUCUUCAUAGAUCAACGGAUGGAAACUCCACUCGUUCCGAAUAGAACAACUAUAUUGACGUUGCUAGGCCAUUUCUUUUGUCAAUUUUUUAAACGUGCAGAAUAAUAGUAUUAGGAGUACAAGGCAUGCAUGAGUGUUGCAGGCUCACGCUUUGUUGUAAAGUCAAACGCACCAUUCUGACUAGAAGCACGCGAAGCAGGUAAAGAGGUUUGGCUAGAGAUUUCCUGAAAAAAUAAUGUCCUUUCGAUUCAUAAUAAGACGGGCUAAUUCUGUUCUUGACCUUUGGAGUGGGGACAACAACCGAUGCUAAUACCUCCCUGUCUACGAAGCAGCAAAAGAAAUCCACCCAAAGAGGCCACUUGCACGGCGGUUUAGGGUUAUCUAGUCCGUGAAACAAUAGUUUAUAAGGCGAUGAUUAGUAGGUCAUAUGAGAGGAUGACCAACCAUGGGACUGAGGCUCUGUUUGAAACCAUAAUAGAUUAUAAUAAUCUAGAUUAUGAACAUAGAUUAUAUAAUAUGGUUUAUAUAAAUAAUCUAGGUGGGCAUGUUUGGAGGACAGAUUAUAUAAACUGUAAACCAGCUUUUAAAUUGUACAAUGACAUGUUUGCCCUUAGUUUACAAGGAAAAAUAAAAAAGUGGCGGUGGCACUGCGUAAUUCUCUUAAAGUUUACAAGGAUAACACGUCAUUUGUAAUCCAUAAUCUCAUUUUAGCUGGGGUAGAGGAGAUUAUGAGAUUAUAAUAAUCUGAUCAUCUAGUUUAUAAAAUCUACAAUAUAAAUUGUCCUGUUUGGAAAUACAAUAGAUUAUAAAAACCAGAUUAUAUAAUCUGGGUGGUUCCAAACAGGGCCUAAGCUCGGCGGCUAUUACAUCUCAUUUUCUACCAAGGAGUGGCUCUUUCGAUUUCUAAAGCUUGGUAUAUAACAAAGGACAUUUGCAGGUGUCUUUUGUCGGUUUAGUGUUCUUGUUUUUUUGCGCGUAAAGUUUUUUUUUAAUGCUCCAACAAAAGGCUUAUGAUAAAAAAAAAGCAGCUAGUAUGUUUUUUAUGUGAUUUUAUUUUUCUAUUGUUCGUUUGUGCCUUGUCUUUUCGUUGUACUGUAUAUUAUUUCCCUUGAUGAUCACUAUUAGAUAUUAAAAGCCAUUCAAUGUAUUUAAAAAAUCAUCUCUAUUUUUAUUUCAUAUAUAAAUAAUCCUAUUCAUUUUCAAGUGAUAUAUAAAUUAUAUAGCUAGAAGGUAUGGAAACGAACAAAACUACAAAAGUAUGCUCUGAUUUACAUCAAUGGAUUUCCUCUCGCUACUUCUACAAUGAGAAAGGCAUUCACCUCACUUUAUAAGUAAAGCCACAACCCAACUUACAUCGAUCAUUACAACAAGGAAAAAAAGAAUACAACGAAGAUACAUGAUAUCGAAGGAGCCACUAACAAGGUCUGAAUGGACCAAGGACAAGCUUGUAGAUCAAGGCCCUUCGUGAACUAAGAUCAUGCAAUCGAUAUGACCAAAAUAAGGUAGCACCCCGUCACUAGAGGAAAACCACACUCCAUCAACUCACAUGAGGCCAUCAUAGAUGUUUUGGCAAAGAAGGCCCCAUGCCGCCUUGUCUUGGAUCGAAGGAAGACGCACCUGUCGGCAGGUAAAGCCACUCACCCUCGAGCUCAUAUGACCUGGACCAACGGGUUGUGAGGGAGAGGAUGACCAGCACAACAACCUCACCUUGCAAUGCAGCACCCUGUGCAUCACCAUGCCUCUCACAAGGACCAACGUCAACCGCAAGCAGCCGAGCGGGACCUUCUCUCUAGAAUCCGGUAGUGUCCCACCAACACCGUAGUCCCGACCGACACUCUAGAGUCCCAAGGUGGCGUCUUCAAGAAGUUUAACGGCGUUGGAGCGUCGUCGCCACCUAGUCCGGAGAUUUUCGGGUUUUCACCCGGGACUCUGAGGUGGAGGGCAAGGUAGGAUCUCAAUGCCACAUACAGUAAGGGGAAUGAUGCCCAUGGCACCACCGUCAUCGUGGUGGUUGUAGCCAGCUAAGGGAUUCUCCCAAUCCACAACACCGUACCUCCCAUCCCCAUCUAGCCACUCGGUCAAGCCAAACAAGCAAGGGAGUAGUAAUGGGUAGUCGAGGCAGGAAGGGGAUCGAGGAAGGAGACCACCAUCUCAUAUCCGCUCCAAGGACCGACGAGGAGGCCCCGAGAGCAUGCUCCAUGUUUGUUACCGACCUGCUACCCGCGCGGCCAAGGGUGGUGCACCUCCGCAUCGCGCCCACAAUCCACUACCAUGCCUCUGGGCGUACCGCACGCACCAACCCACCACCACGGAGCCCUUCACACCGUAGUUGUUGUCUGUCGCAACGCCGCUGCACCCUCAACCAGUCCAGCACCACUCUCAUACCUCACCAGCCCAUGUAUGCCGCCAUCGAGCAGGGAAAGAGCGGCCCGACUGCUGCCGACGUCGACAGGGGUUCGCCCGUCAGCGCGAGCCGAUGACGGCGAUGGAAGGGAGAGAGGGAAAGGGGAGAGAUGUGCUGGCAGCUAGGGUUUCCCCUUCAGGAUACUCAUGGGAGUGAUACGGGUGGGGAGGGAAGGGGGAGAAGGAAGAGCAACCGUUUUCACUCCCCGCUACUACUAUGAGCUCAUAGGUGUCAACAAAGUUGCUAUAGUAAGAUGGAUGCUCAAGAACAAGCUUUGCUCACGGUGCGUCACCGAUAGAUAGAGAAGGAAGACGAAACCAAUUUCUUCAAUGACUUGUCUAUAAUUUUAUGUUCUUGUAAGAAACUCCUCGUAGGGACGUACCUUUAAGCCUUCUUGCUAAAAAAUAAAUAAAUAGAAGAGGAUAAAAAAUAAGAAUAUUCACAAGAUAUUCUAGUAUCAUAUUGCAGGAAAAUAGGAAACGAAUUAACGAAUAAACAAAAAAAAUGCAUCUAAAAAAGGUACUAAAACCAGUGGUGAAAAGAUCAUGAACUGGCCAAACCGCCUCCCUUCUCCUUCGCGCAUUCACCAUAAAUACCUUCUUCAUCCCCAUCUCCCCCUCCACCGUCACAAACCAGAGGCACAAAACCGCAGCAGGCGCAUACCACCGCAACACCCAGACAAACCCCAAGAAAUCACUAGCCGCGCCUCCCUCCGCCAAAAUGCUGGCCGCCGCCGCCGCCGCCUCCGUGAAGUUCUCCCCGGCGUCCGCCGGUACCGGUACCACAACCAAGUUGGCCUUCAAGCCUGUCCACCUCCCUCCCCUCCCCAACGCCGUCCGUCGUCCCCUCUCCCUCUCGGCGCGGCCUCUGUACCGCCAGGAGCCGUUCCUGGCGGCGACCCGCAACGACCGUGCCGCGUCAAUGGCGCCCCCUGCAGCCACCGCGGAUGGCGCGCGGCCGGUGGAGACGGCGGCCGCGCCGGAGGCCGCGAAGAGCGCCAAGAUCGGGGUCUACUUCGCCACGUGGUGGGCGCUGAACGUGAUCUUCAACAUAUACAACAAGAAGGUGCUGAAUGCGUUCCCGUACCCGUGGCUCACGUCGACCUUGUCCCUGGCCGCCGGCUCCGCCAUCAUGCUCGUGUCCUGGGCCACCAGGAUCGCCGAGGCGCCCCAGACGGACCUCGAUUUCUGGAAGGCUCUCUCUCCGGUGAGCGUGCGCAUGCGCAUGGUUUCUCGGCGCGCCCUCUUCUUGCCAAUCUCACCGGCCUGUACGUGUUCUAGAUGUGCUGAUGCCCGUGUAUCGGGAUUUCUUUAUUUUUUGUGUCCGUGCAGGUGGCGAUUGCGCACACGAUCGGGCACGUGGCGGCGACGGUGAGCAUGGCGAAGGUGGCCGUGUCGUUCACGCACAUCAUCAAGAGCGCGGAGCCGGCCUUCAGCGUGCUCGUCUCGAGGUUCUUCCUCGGCGAGCACUUCCCGUUGCCGGUUUACUUCUCCCUCCUCCCGAUCAUAGGUGGAUGCGCUCUCGCCGCCGUCACCGAGCUCAAUUUCAACAUGAUUGGUGAGCAAUCUGCAGACUCCCAUUUUGUUGAAUCUUGAAAUUACCUCCAGCAGAUACUCAUCACUACAUAAGAAAUAUCGUCACUUUUGCUAGUACACAAGAGAUAUUUUUCAGUAGUACUCCACUUCCGAUUUCCGAAGAACCUGAACUGUCCACAAAUCCUGAGGUCUAUAAUUUAGCACGUAUUAUAUACCAAAACCUUUUACCUUUGAUAUCAAAAUUGGACAACGUUGUAGGUGGAUUAAUUGAAGGAUAUAUAGAUUUUGUUUGACAUUGUUAAUUUUGAUAGCACGUGUGUUGAAUUCACUAUAGGAUUCAUGGGGGCGAUGAUCUCCAACCUGGCUUUCGUGUUCCGUAACAUAUUCUCCAAGAAGGGGAUGAAGGGCAAGUCGGUGAGCGGGAUGAACUACUAUGCCUGCCUCUCCAUGCUGUCCCUGGUGAUCCUCCUCCCUUUCGCCUUCGCCAUGGAGGGCCCCAAGGUGUGGGCUGCAGGCUGGCAGAAUGCAGUCGCCGAGAUCGGUCCCAACUUCGUCUGGUAAGCUCCAUCACGUGACUGCUUGCCAGUUCGCUGUCAUAAGUUCACAACUACCAUGCCAGUUUUGUUAAUGAACUUUGGAGACCAACUAUAGCAUAGCAGUACAGCAUUCGCACUUCAGAACUGACACUAGUUCAUUCACACAAGACCGAGAUUUGGAUAGUCUCUGUGAUAAUUCAGUUGGUUCAUGUGUAUGAAUGGAUUCCUCUCUUGCUUGUAGGUGGGUGGCGGCGCAGAGCGUGUUCUACCACCUGUACAACCAGGUGUCGUACAUGUCGCUGGACGAGAUCUCGCCGCUGACAUUCAGCGUGGGCAACACCAUGAAGCGUAUCUCGGUCAUCGUCGCGUCCAUCAUCAUCUUCCGC
RNAcentral lists this long non-coding RNA (50052 nucleotides) under Hordeum vulgare. RNAcentral describes it as "long non-coding RNA (HVUL_LNC003706)". The record is from RNAcentral. Lineage: Eukaryota; Viridiplantae; Streptophyta; Magnoliopsida; Poales; Poaceae.